GGAUUUGUAGUAGUAGUGGGGUGGAGGUGGUGAAGGGACUGGAGGAGGAGGAGACUUGUACUUAUAAGGCUUCUUGUGAGGUGAUGGUGGAGGAGAGUGGUAAACUGGGGUGGGGACAUGGGGAGGGUAGGUGGGAACUGGUGGCGGUGGGGAGUGGUAGACUGGGUGGGGGUGAGGGUAGCGGUGCCUGUGCACUGGUGGAGGAGGGGAAGAGUAUUUGUAUGACUUCUUAGGAGGGGGUGGAGGAGAGUGGUAAACUGGGUGUGGGUGAGGGUAAGGCUUGUGCACUGGUGGUGGGGGAGAUGGGUAUUUGUAUGGCUUCUUUGGUGGUGGAGGUGGUGGGGAGUGGUAGAUUGGGUGAGGGUGAGGGUGAGGGUGUGGGUGAGGGUAAUGGUGAGGAGGGGGUGGAGGAGAUUGGUAGACUGGGUGUGGAUGAGGGUAGGGCUUGUGCACUGGUGGUGGUGGAGAUUGGUAGACUGGGUGUGGAUGAGGGUAGGGCUUGUGCACUGGUGGUGGUGGAGAUGGGUAGUGGUAGGGAGGUGGUGGUGAGGAGACUGGUGGAGGUGGAGGAGAGGAGUAGGAGUAGUGGUUGCCGGAGAUUUGAGAUGGGAGGCUGAAAAGGAUAAUGGCAAAUGCAAGAGUGAUAGAAGCAGAGGCCAUUAGGGACCCCAUUUUCCUCCAACUGAGUUUUGGUUAUGCUCUAAAGUGAGCUUCUGCAUCCCUUUUUAUAGUUGCUUCUGAACCAUUUAACUCCAACCUACACCUUUCUUAACUCUACUUUUUUUCACUUCCACACUCACCUUCUCGGAAACACGUUAUCACGUACGUAAUCCUGGUUUUGAACUAUUGCCAUGACAUUGACUUUCAAACCCUUUGGAACACGGUUUUGGAUUCGAUUCAUCUAUCAAAAUAUUACGUGCCUUUUUUUAUGCAGAUCUCUAAUCAAAAUAUCAACUUCAUUUGAUGAUGUGUAAUGUAUUCUUCCUAUUAUGCAUGUUGUUGAAGUAAAACUUCACUUAUGAUCAUGAUUGAAUAGGAGCAUUAAAAAAUACUAACCAAAAACAUCUAAGUUUUGUUGCUUUGAAACUAAUUAAGAAGGUUAACAUUACAAGUUAAAUAUGGUAAACUUAUUGGUUUGAAUUAUUCUGAGUCAUAAAUAUUGUAUUGUAGAAGUGCUUUUGAUUGUGUAGAAAUGAAAAAGGUAAAAUAAAAAUAAGUGCAGGGAUGCCAGACUGUGGAGUCUGUAGCUAGGCUGAAAUGCUGACACAACCUUUAUUUUUCUCUGUGUGGCGGAAGAAAAGACAAACAAUAUGAUUUAAUUAUUUGUUGCUUCUAGCACUGAAACAUCACUCUGUUAAAAAACAUGCAUAAUUUUUGGGUACUACUUUUUCGUUAAAAUAAUGACAUAAAUGAAUUCAGCUGUAUCAAUUGAGGAACUAAAGUAAAAAUAUGGAUAAAUUUUUCACAUAUUUUAAAAAUUAUUUUUCUAACUUACUUUCCCAAUUCAUAUCUAAUUUCAGAAUCUUUGAAACUUGUACUUGUCUAAAGUGGUACUGCAUGAUAUAGGGGCACCUAAAACUACAUAUUUUUCAUCCUUCCCUGUCAUUAAUUAAGUAUUUAUUAAACUAUUUUUUCAGUUCUAAUAACUGUAUGAAAAAAAAAAAUCUCCACUGAACAAACUACAAGUUUUUUUUUCUCUUUUUUUUAUAUAUUUUAAUAAGUAUUUUUAGAAAACUAAAUAAAAAGGAACUCAAACAUUUUUAUAGGCUAAAUUUCUUUAAAAAAUUGUGCAUCGUAAGAAGGAUAAGUGGGAAGGUUUCAACUUGGGAGAUAACACUCUAAAGUGAAAAAACAUUUUAAAUUGGGAGUUGAACUUUCUUUGCCAGCUCAAUGCAGGUCCAUAUAUAUAUAUAUAUAUAUAUAUAAUAUUAUUAAAAAAAAUUAUAAAAUAGAAACUAAAUUUUUAUAGACCAAAAUAAUUAAUUAUAAUAAAUAAAUUAAAUAGUAACUAAAUUAAAGAUCACUUUAAAAUUAAUUUCAAAAUUAAUUUUUAUUAUUAUUAAAUAGUUUCUAAAUUGGUAUCUAAUUAUCAACUAAUGUUUUAAUUACCAAUUAUUUAGUUUCUAAAUUUGGUUUUUAAAAUCUUGUUAUUAAUUAAAUAUCAAUUUAAAAACUAUAUAAUAAUAAUAAAAAUUAAUUUAGAAACUAAAAUUUCUUUUAUUUUUUAAAAUAUCUAUAAUUUAGUUACUAUUGCAACUAAUUAUUUUGAUCUUUAAAAAUUGAUUUUUAUUUCAUGAUUUUCUUGUAGUACAUUGAUUAAUGCUUAAAAUAAAUUUAUUAAGUAAUAGAUUUAAGACGAGGUUGAUAUUUACUUACAUAUUAUAUAUUAUCAAAUAUUAUACUUUGAUCUAAAAUUUUCAGCACGUUUUCUUAGGUUGAAAUUUUCUAAUUCGUGGUAUUGUAAUUUUCUAAUUCGUGAUAUUAUAUAUAUAUAUAUAUAUAUUUUAUUUGAUAAUAAUAUAAUAACCGAGGAUAUGCUAAACUCAAUCAAUUUUGUUAAGAUAAACUUAACUCUGAUUUUAUAUUAAAUAAUAAAUUUUAAAUAUAAUUUAAUCUUAUAAACUGAAUUAUGAAUUAUAAAGUUAGGUUUAUAAUUAUUUGUAUAUUAUAAAAAUCUUCAUAAUAUUUUCAAUUUUUGUUAAAAUGUAUAUUCUUUUUAUUUUAUUUCUUGACAUUAUAAAUUAUACGAAAAAAAAAUGGUAUUCUAUGCUCCAUUCCCGAAAGCACCAUUUCACGUGCCAUUGUCAUGCAUUUCUACCUAUAAUAGCUUACUGGAGUAGGCCAAGACUCACGAGUUAUCCAAAGUAAUCUUUGUUUUCUAUUUUCCCUCUUUUUCGGGAACUUAAAUUAAAAUGUUUUUUUGAUUAAAUAUAAUUAAAGUUAAUUUAAACUUAUUAUAAUAUAAUAUUAUAAGAAAGGAUGUGGAUAAACACAGUCAUUAAGAAAAUGUAUUACUUUACAUAAUUGUGUAUAAAUUAUUAUAAUAUGAUCAAUUAUAUUAUUUUACAUGCUCAAUUAAAUGUUUUCAGAGAAUUAUAUUUGAAGUUGGAAAUAUUUUUGUAUGAAUUUCAAACUCUUUUUUCUUAAUCUGUAAAGCUGGGAUGAAUUAUUGAAUGAAAACUCCUCAACAGAUAAUUCAGAAGUGACUCAAAAUUCAGAAAACAGAAAGAGAAAAUCAAAUUAAAUUUAAUGAAUAGUUUUAUUUCCAAGGCAGCAUAGGGUAUCCUAAUUUCACUAAUAUUAAUUUGAAAAUUUACAGUAUUCGGGAUUUUAUUUUGUAAUGUCUUCUGUAAAUUGUUAAAUAUUAUUGUUGAGAUCUACCUACCUAUCUACCUAGCCAACUUCAUAAAAUAUUUAAUCACCUUUAAAAUUUAUGUUUUAUUAUCUUUAUCCAUGAAUUAAAUUUAAUGAUUUUAAAAAAUAAGUUUAUGUUACAAUUAAAAUUAUUUUACUGGUAUACAAGUAUAUUUUACAUAUUCAGAAAUAUUUAUUUGUUAUAAAUUUUAAUAACUGUAAUUUUGAUUUUCAAAUAUAAAUUAUAAUUGUAAAAUAUUUUAUAUAAUAAUUUUUUUUAUUAUAAUUUCUACUUAUACAAAACGUAAAUAUUUAUUCGAAUAAUACUCGUGAAAUUGCAUGUGCAUUUGUUGAAUCUGAAGAUGGGCUAGUAUAAUUAAUUUUUAUAGACAAAAAACUGUGAUUGUAUCUUUUCAAUAAUUUGUAAAUCAGUUUCUUUUCUAUGCAUAUACUGAUGAGACUUAAAUAAAGAUUUUGUGUAUUAGUUAAACAUAAACAAAUUUCAACCAUAUUGAUUCCUACUUAAAACACCAUUUCCAAUAAUAAUACAUACAAAUCCAUCCACAGAAAAUACAAAACGAUUUAUCAGAGCUAAAAUAUAAUGUAUGAUAUAUCAUAAUCUUUAUUAGCAUGUGCUUGCUACUAUAAUUAAUUAAAGUUUUAGACAAAAAUUACCUUUGAAGAUAACUUGAUACACCUAAAGAGUUCCAACAUAAUGCAAAGCUAAAGAAAUAUAGGAAAUGAGCGUGGGUGGUUCAGUGUGAAUUGGAUAGGAGAUAAGACUCUAUUAAAUAGACUUCCUGAAAGUCUAAAUUCACCCAAUCAAUCAAAAUAAGUUUGAAUUCAAACUUCAUUGCCAAAAUGAAUCUCUGUGACAUUUUGAUUAUUGUACCCAAAGUGAAAAUUGUAGCCAUGUGAACAUAAAGUUCUGAGUAAAGUGUACGCUUGACAUGUAUUUUGAGGAAGAAAACAUUGUUUGUGAGAAAAUCAAGUUGUUGCUGCACGACUUUGCAAUUGAAGUUGCCAAUAAUGAGAAAUUUUUUCAUUUUGUGCUUAUGCAAAGUUGUUAUUAACAGUGAAGGAAACUUUGAAAAGGAAGACUGAAAAAUAUUAUGACCAAUGCAAGAGUGAGAGAAGCAAAGGCCACUAAAGACCCUAAUUUCCUUAAAGUUGGUAUUGGUUAUAUGGUCAUGUUGAGAAACCCAAACUAGCCCCUUUUAUAUACCAUUUAGCUCUAAGCAUCUUCCUAACUUUAUUUGUUUCCUUCACAAUACUACACGCAUGCACCAAUGGUUUUAGGAGCAAGUGUCCCAAAGCGUUUUUGGAACGGUUGUGACUCUAAUUGCUUUUGGAACGUUGAAUUUGGAUUUCACAGGCUGCGUCCUAAUUAAGACAAAGCACGUUUAUUUUUCUUUACAUCCCAAAACAUAGCAUAAUAUAUAUUUAAUUAUCUUUGAUUAUAAGUUUCUAGCAUUCACAAAUUUCAUUCCCCAAAUUAUUUGUUUGUUGUUGUGUGUGGUUUAUAGGGAACUAAAACACUAGUUUAUAGGGAACUAAAUCUCUGAAACUAUAUUUGAUAGUUAUGAGAAACUAGUAUAUGGUAUUCACAUUUUCUCUGUUGUUGAUUGCACUGCCAUUGUAUUAUACAUGUAUCAAGAAAACGUAGUGACUUUGUAAUUCUGUUUCGUAGUUUUUACAUAAAAAAUUACUAGAUUUUGUAAGAUAUGAAGCAAGUGUGGGGAUUAUUUGUUCCUAGGGAAAGUUUUAAAGUGAACUUGUAAGUGUCUUCAAAUCUGUUUUGCACAAUAAAUAAGUGCGACGUAUUAGAUUUCAAACAUUGCAAAAUAAAUGUUACAUGUUUACAUAGGUUUUUUAUUGGUAAGUAAUUCAAUUUUUUUUAGAGGUGGUUGUGAUUUUAUUAUAAUUUUAAAGUCAAAUAAGUGAGUCGACGGAUAUUGGAUAUCAAACAUGGAAUAAAUUUUGCAGUUUUUUAGGCCUGUGAUAAGAAAAUACAUACAUUACAACAUUAUUUUUAAUUAAAAUAUGUUUAGGAAAAUGAAAUGUCUCAAUCUGUGUAGAGAUUAAACUCUAUAUAAUGCUCUGAUACGAAAUAUGAUAUCAUCGGAAGUGUAAUUAUUUGGCAUAUAUAUUAUACUUUAACAGCCGAAAACAAUCAUUUACCAAUUAAUUAUAUUAAUAAUUUAAUUAUAUAUUUCAUUUUUAAAAUUAAAUUAUUAAAAUAAAAUUGUGAAAUAUAUCUUAAAAUAUAAUUUUUCACAUAUAUAUUCGAUGUAACGAAACUGACUUUUAACUAAUCCGAGAAAUCGGGUAAGAACUUUUCGAAGAACUGAAGUGCCUCUCCAUUCUGAUAUUGACAAAAGGAAUUUAAAACAUUCAAAUCAAUACAAAUUAAAUGUACCUAUAAGACUGAAUUUCAUUUCAAUGAAUUUUAUGAGGAAAAAGAUAAAUAAAAAAUAAAAUAAUUCUUUAUAAAAUUAGUUUAUGUAUAAUUUAAUUUAUAAAAAUUAAAAAAUAAUUUUAAUUUGUGUAUAUAUAUUAAUUUUUAUUUAUAAAGAAAUUUGUUUUAUUUUAUUUUUCAUACUUUUUCUUAUAAAAGUCCUUUUAGAAAGACUAGUCUAAAUAUAUCCCAAAAAAUAUAUUAUUGUACUACGACAUCAGUACACUGACAUCAUGCAUAUGACAUGACUGAAAAACUUUACUUUGAUUUUAAUUUUUCACAUUUUUAUUCAUCUUCUCAAGUUUCUUCAAUUAAGUAAUAAUAAUUUAGUAAAAUAUUUUUUUAAAUGAUAAAUUGUUUAUUAUUUAAUUAUCUUAGUAUUUUUUUUAAUUAUUGUUAUUUAACUGAAUAAAUGGAGAAAAAUGGCGCGAAAUUUCACUAUUAAUAAAAAUUAAAUUUAGAGAUAAAUAAUUUUCUUUAUGAUAAUAAAAGUAAAAUAUAUAAUAAAAAUUGAUAUUAUAAUAAUUAUCAAAAUAAUUAUUAUUAUAAAAUAAAUAUUUUUAAGGCAUAAUUAAUUACCCUUUUUCUUGCAACAUUUUCUAACUUUAUUCAAUUUAAUCUCUAUAUUUAAAAAAUAAAUAAAAAAUGAUACCAAUCUUGUUUAGAAAGUUCAAUAUGAUUUCAACUUCUUUUACUAUUCAAUCUGAUUCCAAUGUUUUUAAGAGUUUAGGGUGGUCCCGUUUUUUUAAAAAUAACUCAAUAGGAUGAUUCAAACCUUUUUUUUUUUUAAAUCGCUAAGAUAUUAAAAUGAAGACAUUUAGCAUGAAGGAUCACAUUAAAUCGUUUCUAAACAAGAUUGAGAACAUUUUGAAUUUUUUAAACAUACGGAGAUUAAAUUAAAUAAAGUCAUAAAAUGUUGAAAAAAAAGUAAUUAUGCCUAUUUUUAAUUAAUUUUUAUAAUAUUAUAUACUACAAGAAAAUAUUUAAAUAAAAACUAAUUUUAGAGAAAAAAAAUUAGUUAUUAUAUUAAGUAAGUUAUAUACUAUUUUAUAAACUAAACAAUUUUUUAUAUAUAAAGUAGUUUUUAUUAUUAAUAAAAUUUACAAACUAGUUGUUAAAUUAUUAUCUAUCAAGGUUUUAGCUAUUAAUUAUGUUAGAUUAUAAAUUAAUUAGAUUAAUAAUAAGUAUAAUUGUAAACAGUUAUGUGUAAAAAGAAACUUUUAUUUUGAAAGAAUAAACCUUAUUAAAACCUUAUAAAAAAAAUCCUAUUGAGUUGAAGAACAUUAGGGAUAAAAUAUUGAGUUAAGGAAAAUUAGUACUUUAUCUUAUAUUCAACGCAAAUCAUAAUGUAUACACCAUAAAUCAAUCAAAAAGGUGUUUCUACCAUAGAUGUUUGGGGAAUACACUGAUAUCCCACAAUAUGUUGGGUAUAUUUUUGGCCCAAAGAUCUUUGGGUUCCCCAAGAUUCUUUUUGAGUUAUGGGUUUUGCGUGUAGGAGUAUGGUAAGUUUGUGACAUAUGAAGUUAGGAUCAAUCUCUAGCGUUUCCACUAGACUCCAUGUGAAGAGGUCAGAGUUACUGAAUAGUACCUUUUCUAUAAGGAUCUAAAAAUUUACUUUAGAGUAAAAGUGGUAUAUUUUAAAUGAUACUUGAAUAUUUUAUUAUUAAAAUGAAAAGAACAUAUAAAUAGAAAAAUCAUUUAUUCAGAUUUCAUUUCAAAAGAACCACCAUCUCUCUAGAAGUUUCUUUUUUCCUUUCCUCACCCUACUCUCUAAGAUUAUGACCUCCUCGCUCAUCAAUUUGACGAUCGGAGUCUGCUAUUAAACUCUUGGCAGCGAAGACUACAAGACUGCCCAAUCAAAAUCUCUUAUAGAGUAAGUUCAAUUUUACUCUUCUCUUUGAGUCAAAUUUUGAACUUGUAGGUCUGUCUCAAUUUAAGUUUACACAUUUGACUCUUUUAGCUUUAAGAUUAGUCUUUGUUAUCUCAGAGUCCUAGUCAUAUAGUUAAAAAUUUUAUCAGGACUUUGUGGUGCAUGUUAAGCUACUAUUGAAGCUUUUGGUAGGUUUGAAGCUCUUAGGCUUUGUUUGGAUCCAGGGGUGCCACUGUUGGCGACGACGAAAGUCACAACAACACCCCGUUUGGAUCCAUGCAUUGUUGCGGGUGAGGGUGCAGCGAAAGAGAAAGUUGAGUGAAUUGUGUUUCUUCUGAAAGAUGAAGAGAAAGUUUCACUGUGCAGUGCAAGUGCCAAGUCAUCACCACGAAAUUCCAAUGAUGCCCUUACUUUUGUGUUGGAAUCAAGAAGCACAGUGGCUGUGCAUGCAUGCCAGAUGAAAGCAUGAAAUUCCUGACUUGGCUCAGGAAUCUAUUGACCAUGUGAAAGUUUGAAACCUCAUCAAUGAAAUGGGUGAGAGGUAGGUGCGUGAGAUUUUUGGUUUCUUUAUAAACGUUGCUUCCUCCAUUCAUAGUCACAGAUAAGCGAAGCAUAAGCAAAGAGAGAGCGAAGCAUAAAGUGUGUAGUUGGAGAGAUUUGUAAGUCAUAGUGUGUGUUAGGGGCUUCAUUAACGUAGAGGUUAUUCAUCUGAAAGUGAUGUGUUCAUCUCUGGGUUCAUCUGUGCCUUCAUGUGGUUCAUCUCUGGGUUCAUCUGAGGUGAGUUUAUAUGUUUGAUUGUUGGUUAAUCGAUUAUGGUUUAAAUAUCACAGGCAAAAUAAUCGAUUAUAGUGUAAUCUGCAAAAUUUCCCAGGCAUAAUCGAUUAUCUGUAGUGUGUAAAAUUGCUCUUAAUCGAUUAUUUGUUGUGAUAAUCGAUUAUUGUUGUUUUUAGCCUAGUAGCAUAAUCGAUUAUGCUUUGAUAAUCGUCUUAACUGUGUAAAAGGGUUCCUAAUCGAUUAUGUGUUGUGAUAAUCGAUUAUGGUUGUUUUUUUGCCUACUAACAUAAUCAAUUAUGCGUUCAUAAUCGAUUAUCCUGUGUGUGUAAGUGAUGCCAUAAUCGAUUAUGUUCUAAAUUUUUUGAAAUAUAAAUGUUUGUUAAUUUAUUUGUUUUCUGUUAUUUUUAGGUGUGUUGAUCUUCCUAUAAGCCAUCCUAUUGCUGUUCUUGAGUGCUUAUCUUCAGGUUUUAAAUUUUUUUUAUGUAAAAUUAUUUUAUUUAAUUUCUGUUUUAUAUUUAUGAUUAUGGUUUUGUAAUAUAAUUUGUUUAGAAUUUAUUUUAGUUUAUUAUGUUAAGGCUGUUGUUGUAAUAUAAUUUUUUUAGAGUUUAGUUUAGUUAAUUAUGUUAAGUAGUUACUAGAUAGUUAAUUAAAUAUGUUAAGGAGUUUAGUUUAUUAAAUUAAUUGUUUCAGUUGAUUUAUUAUUUUAAUUUUUGUAGAUAGUUAUUAAUUUAUUAAGAAAAAUAUUUAUUUCUAUGAAAUGAAUUAUUUACAGAAUGGAAACAGAAAUUUGUAAAUUUUAGGUUUUUUAUUAUAUUAAACAUAAAUUAUUAAUGUUAUAAUUAAAUCAAAUAAAAAAAGUUGUUGUGAUUAAAGAAAACUGAAAAAUUUAAGAUAAAUAUUGUUUAUAAGAGAAUAUAUAUUGUAUAAUAAUAAAUAUACAAAGUUAAUAAAUAUUGUAUAAGAAAACUGAAAUAUUGUAUAAUAAUAAAUAUAUAAAGUUAAUUUUUUUUUAACAUUUAAUAGAAAUGUUUAUAAGAGAAUAGAUAAUUUUUUUAAAUGAAUAUUUGUAUUCUGUAUGGUUAAUAUUUUUUUAAAUUGGACAUAAAUUAUUAAUGUUAUUAGUUGAAAAGAUUAAAAAAAAUGUUUUUGUAAUUUUUGUUAUAAGAUUUAAUUGUUAUAAGAAAAAAAUGAAUGUAUUUAAAAUGAAUAUUUUUAAAAAUUUGUAAUUUGUAGGUUUUUUAAAAAGUAAUUGAUAUUUUAGAAGUAUUAUUUUUAAUUGAUAUUUUAGUUAUAAAUGUAGAAAGUAAUUAUUUAUUUCAAAAUGAAUUGUUUAUGAAAUAGAUUUUAAAAAAUUUAUUUUGACAUAAUGGAAUUCAAAAUUUUAAAAAUAUUUGAUAGGGUUUUCAUUUUUGUAGAUUAAACAUAAUUUAUUAAUGAUAUAAUAAAAAACAUUAUAAAAAUGUUGUAUUAAUUAAAAAAAUAGUAAAAGUUUAAAGUAGAAAUAUCAUUUUGAGUUAUUUUGAGUUAUUCAGGUGGUGAAAGUCAAAGGAGGUUCAUAUGAAUGAGUAAGUUGCUUGAAAGAUAACUAAUUUGACUUGCUAUAUGAAUUAACCCUGUCAUACUAGGGAGAGAUUGUAUUGAGAUUAUUUAUGCGCAUAAAUGUGUGGAUUUCACAGUAAUAUAGUAUGACAGGUGCAAAUCUUUGAGUCUAAGUUAACGCACGAGUCUUCCGGAAAUAUAGUCAAAUGUCUAUGUGUUGUGAGUCAGUAGAAGUCUGACAUGUGAAAGAUAAAUUAUGAAUUUUAAUAGACACUUGAUGAUUUGAGAAAUUUUAUGAGACUUGAUGAAUUAUGUUUAUUAAUGUGAAAUUGAAAUUAUAUAGAAAUUUUUAUAUAACUAGCUUACCAUGUUCUUUGUUUGUGUUUGUUUCUUUAUCUGUGAUGAUCGUGUUUUACACGAGAAUGAGAUUGCAGGUAAUAGAGCUCCUUAGUGAGCACCUGAAGGAUGAAAUUACUUUAAUUUGAAUGUUUUGUUUUGUUUUUAAAACUUUUGGUGUAUAUAUUAAAAUUAUACAAUUAUGAGAUAGUUGUAUAUACUCAUAUGUUAAUUAGAUAUUGUUUGUUUUACUUCUGUUUUAUUAAAUAUGGGUAAAAAUUAGGAAUGUUACAUCUUCAAUCCGCUUUCGAAGAUAUCAACUAACUGAUUUACCAAUCUCCAGGUUGACUUUUGAGUUGCACUUAUACUAGGGGUUCAUCAAAAGAUGGUCGAUUCUCCACAAACUCGGCCCUAGGAUCUAGAAAACCUCAUUCUCAUCGUCUUAUGGGAACUCAAUGUGAAACGCCUGCUCGAUAAAGUUGUUGGUAUCCCCAUGGCCUUGGUCAUUUACUUCCCUGUGCUCCUUCGGGUAGGCUAUGGCCUCGCCAAUUGUUGUUGUGGUCAAGGUCUUUACAAAAUAAGAGAUGACCUUGAUGUUCUCAACAUAACACUCCCUUAUCAUCUUCAGAUUUGCCUUCACUAUGAUUAUUUUACCAUUGUCACUGAAAACUUCAUGGUCAUGUGUAGUCGACACUAUGGCGUCCAAUUGAUUAAUACUUUUGCAUUUGAUGAUGUCAUUGCAGGAUGUGGUACCACAAUGAGAGAUAAAUGGAACUCUUAUUCUGGUCAGGGGAAUAGUAUUUUUGUUUCAAAGGUAAGCUGAAGAGUAUGAAAGUUGAUAUCAAGGUGUGGAAUUGGGAUGUGUUCGGGCACCUGGAAUCUGAGAAGAAGAAUUGUUUGAUGGAUAUUGAGGAGCUUGAUGUCAAAGAUGAGGGUGAUGCUUUGCCAGAGAGUUUAAGGACGAGAAGGUUGGUUCUCAUCAAUCAUGUAGAAGAGAUCAAUAAGAAGUUGGAAUCUAUGUUUAGGCAGAAAGCUAGAGCUAAUUGGCUUACGUUUGGGGACUCUAAUUCCAAGUUUAAUCAUUAUGUAAUUAGAUGGAAGAGACUUAGAAAUGAGGUUAAGGGUGUCGAAGUGGGAAGUUUUUGGGUUGAGGAAUCUAAGGUAGCGCGCAGGGAAGUGGUGAAGCUUUUUGAAGCUAAAUUCUCGGCUACUCAGGAUUUUGGAGUCAGACUUGAGCAUGUUGAGUUCAAAUCCUUAUUAGAGGAGGUUAGCUUAAGUCUGGUGUCCAAGAUCACAGAGGAAGAAGUAAAGGAUGUUGUCUGGUUGUAUGAGGGGUCAAAAAGUCCUGAACCAGAUGACUUUAAUUUUAAUUUUAUCAAGAACAGUUGGGAAGUGCUGAAGCUUGAUGUGGUAGCUGUUGUUCACCCUUUUCAGGAAACAAGUUGUAUUUCUAAAGAGUGUAAUGCGUCUUUUAUUAUCCUUGUCCCCAAAGUUAGGGACCCUAUAAGUCUGGACCAAUACAAACCUAUUUCUCUUGUAGGUUCACUGUAUAAAAUUAUUUCGAAGGUCUUAUCAUGUCGCAUAAAACAAGUUUUACCCGAGGUUAUAGAUGACUGUCAAUCAACUUUCUUAAAGUAAAGAGAAUGUUAAAUAACGUUCUAGUUCUAGUGGCUAAUAAGGUUAUUGAUGAGAUGAGGAGAAAAAAAAAAAAUGUUUUGUCAAUUAUGAAAAGGCAUACAAUUCUGUCAGCUGAGUGUUUCUCUUUCAUAUCCUUUAAAAGUUAGAAUUUCACAAUAAAUGAAUGUUUCUGUUUGAUAUGCUUUGGAAGUUGUGAUUUCACAAUAGAUGGAUUGCGUGGAUCAGAGUCUUUUAAUAGAAAACAAGUAUUUUAAUAAUUUAUACAUAUGAAAGUACAGUGACCGUAUAAAAGUUGUUGUACUGUAACAAAUCAAUAUACAUUAUAAGUUCAUUAUUUUAUAUAAUAACUAUAUAGAUCGUCAAAGUUAAACUAAAGUGACUAUAAAUUAAACUAAAAAAUAAUUAAUUUCCAAAUAUUAUCAUGUAGAAAAUAAGUUGGAGUAAAAAAUAUUAUAAAAAAUAGCUUAACAAUGUGGAAAAAAGGAAAAGAAAAAAAAAACCAUGGAGGAAGAUAACUUUAACUAUGGACACACUCUGAAAGUGAGAUUCGUCAAACAUAUUUUAAGAGUUAUAGAUGAUAGUGAUGAUGAAUAGUGGAGAUAAGUUUCACUAUACUUGUUUUUACCUUUUAAGUAAAAAUUAACAUUCCUGAAAAAAAUAACAUUAUUCAUUUCCAUUUUGAUGGGGAUAAAAUUAGUCUCAUAUUAAUGUAAAAAGAAUACACUGUCUUCUUAGCACCAAUUAAAAAUAAAAAGUUAUAAUAAAAUAAAAUUCAAAAUAAAGUAUUAAAGAAAAUAUUGUUAAUAAUUUAAAACAAAUAUAAGAAUUCGUUAAAUUUCAUAUCUAAUUUAAAUAAUUAAAUUAAACAUUGUUCAUAUAAAGACAAAUUCGAAUAAUAGUAAGACAUAAAAUAUUUUUUCAUCGAGGUGAUUUCACCGAUUACAUGGAACGAUUGAUUGUGUUUUUUUUUCAGAAAAAAAGAAAAAAUAUCUCAUUUGCUUAAAGACAAAAGAAUAUUAACUAUAUUUCUAAAAAUAAAGAAUAAACUUAACAACGAGAACAACUAAUUAAUUAAAUACAUACGUUUGUAUAUAUACUAGUAGCCUAUACCAUGUUUAAUUAUGAGUAUAUGCGAUUAUUCUUAAAUUAUUAUGUCACUUUUGUUUUUCAUAUCUAUGUCCUUCUUAUUUGAAGGCUAAGCCUAGUCACGCAUCAACUUGAACAUCAACUUGGAUUCCUACGGUCCUAUGAAUGCAUAUAACUUGCCCUCAAUCCCACAAUUACAUAAAUUAAAUAAAAUAUUAAAACAAAUAAUUUAAAAACAACUUAAGUGGUUUAAAGUCAGAUUCACUUUUGUAUGAUUUCUUUAAAAAAAAUUACCAUUUUAUUUUAAUUUAUAUGUUACUGUUUAUUAUAAAAAAAAUUAAUUUUAAAAAUUAAAAAAUAAUUAAUUUUUAUAUUGAUUAAAUUAGAUAUUAUUCUUUUAAAUAAUAUUUUAAUUUUUUUUAUUAAUAUCUAAAUUAUUUUUUAUUAUUUUAAAUUGAUAUUUAAUUAAUUAUAAUAUUUUAAUUACCAAUUUUAAAAUUUAAAUACUUAAUAAUUAAAAACUUAACAGCUAAUUAGAUAUUAAUUUAAAAAUUAUUUAUUAAUAACAAAAAAUAAUUUAGAUAUUAAUAAAUUUUUAAUUUUUAAAAUAGUAUUUAAUUUAAUUAAGAUAAAAAUAAAUUAUUUGUUAUUUUUAAAAUUAAUUUUUAUUUAAAUAUUUUCUAACAGUGGGUGAAGCAUAAUUUCAGAUGAAAGAGAUUUUAGGUGUUCUUUAAAUGGAUUUACUUAUAAUAUUGGUUUACAUUAAUUCAAUAUUGCAAUGGUUAUACAAACAUUUUUAACAAGUAUUGUAUUGAUAAUAUUAAAACGUAUUUUAUUUAAUAAGUUUGAUAAAACUUAAUAAAUAAUCAACUUAGGCCUUCCAUGUUAUAGUUUGAAGAAUUAAAAUUGAUUUUUGGUAAAGAAAGUUGGAAAAUGGUGAAGAUUUGUUCCCCCUUCUCGAAAACAAGUUUAAUAUUAAGUGAAAGUGACAUAUGAGAUCCUGAUGGAUCUAAAGUGGAAAACCAGUUUAUGAGAGAUUGGUGUUUUCGAAAGCACCUCAGAAAAAAACAUGUCGGUUGAUUUUAUAAAGGUUCUCGAAUUAAGCAUGUCGGUAAUGACAUUUAAAAUAAACAUGUUUUAUUGAAUCAAAUCUGCAAUUGGUGAUUUGUGUCUGAGACAAUAGGCACCCUUUCAUCAUCAGGAGCAGUUAUCGAUAUUCUUCACAUAAAAUAGUGGAGUUGGUGGUCACUAAUCAAAUGCAACCUCUUUCUUUUUUUUGUUUUGACAGCUCCCAUAAUGAAUUUUUUUUGAAGAAUUUGCGACCUCUUUCACACUGAUUACAUUCAUUUAUAUUUAAAUAAAUUAUUAUUUUAUUAUAAUAUAAUAUUUUAUUUAAAAAAACUUAAUACAUUUUAUUAUAAUACAAUAUUUUAUUCCAAAAAAAUAUUAUAGAAUAAUUACUUUUACUAUUUUGUCUGAAACAAAUUUUAAUCAUUUUAAAUCGAUGGCCGUCCUCCUGGAGCACUAGACCCCAGAUCUGUGAGCUACCGAUGUUGACGAAAGUAUAAAGAAAUAUUUGGAAGUGAGAAUUGCAUUAAUUUAGGAAAACUAAAUGAUUCUUUCUACAAAAUUAUUCUCACUCCUUAAAACCUUGAAUCGUGAUGUCCCAAAUAGGGCACAAAUCAAGCCACCCAUCUUAAAACCCUCAAUAUUGUCUUUACAUCUUUAUUUAUGAGAAAAUAUAACUUAAUAAAUAAUAUUUAUGUUGAAGAUUUUUAUUAUUAAUAAAAAUAUUUUAUAAUAUAUAAAUCAAUAUACACUUUAUAAGAUAAUAAGAUUUGAUAAGAUUGAAUUAAAUUUAAAGUUUAUUUUUUUAAUAUGGUAUUAAUAUAGUUUAUUUUAAUAAAAAUUUAUUAGAUGAUUAAAUUAUCUAUUAUUAGAUUCUUAUGGAAUGAUUCAUUAUAUAGUAUUAAACACAACCUAACAAUCUCGAUGAUAGAUGUUAUGUUAAAAAUUAUGUAUUAAUUAGAAAUAAUAAUAUUUUAUAAUAGGUAAGUUGAUGUAAAUUUUAUUUCAUAAAUUAAUUUUAUUAAAUAGAGUUAUGUUAAAUAUAUUUAUUAAUAUUUCAAACAAAAUUGAGUUAAUUACAAUAAAAAUUAUAUUACUAAGAAUAGUCACAUAUGCUUAGAUAAAAAAUGUUAUCAAUUCAAGUGAGUAUCUGGUCUUCUCCAAAAAAAACUCAACAAAAAUGUCACAUCUUUAGAACUCUAUUUAUGGAUAAAUAAAUAAUUAUCUUAUCUUAAUGUAAUAUAAUUUGUUGGGUAUAUCUUCUUCCAUUUUUCCUACAUAUAAUAUUGACAUAAAUUUAAAACUAGUAUUUUUAUUUAUAUAUAAUAAAAUUUAUAAAUUUAUGUUAUAUACUAAUUUAAUAAAAUUAAUUAAUUUGUAAAUAAUUAUAAAAAUUUGGUGUAUUAUAUUUGUUAUAGAUAUUACAUUAUAAUUUUAUUAUAAACUUAUAAUGUAAUAUCUAUAACAAAUAUAACACAACAAAUUUAUAUAAUUAUUUAAAAAUUGUGGACACUUAUUUCCGCUAGUAUUUAUAAUUAUUCUGACAUAAAAUUUUAACUAUAUUUUUUAGGAUAUUAAAUAAUUAUUAUUCAAAUAUUUUUAAGAUAUUAAUUAUAUUUUGAAAACAUUAUAUCAUUUUUGUAAUAUAGAAAUGGUUAUAUAAAUAUAUUAUAAUUUUGUAUAAUUUAAUUAAUAAUUUUUAUAACUUAUUAAAAAAUAAAUUAAAUUUUUUUCUAUAAAAUUAUAUGCAAUUUUUUUCUAUUUCAAUAUAAUUUAUCUUAUAUCUUAACAUUAUUUAGUUUGUUACCAUAUUUUUAUCUUAUUAUAUUUUCAUCAUGCCAUAUUUUUAUUUUAUUGUAUCAUAUUCUUCUAUUUUAUUAUAUUGUGUUUACUAAACGAAUGUUUAAAAUUUAAAACAGUUAUAAUUUAUAUACAUUAUUUUCUCUAAACUCAUUAAGACGUUUUUGAAAACAAAGAAUUUAACAAAAGUUGAUAUUACACAUGAAAUAAUUCUCAAUCAAAUUUGCUAACGUAAUCAAUUUCUUUUGUAACAUCCUAAUUUUUACCCAUAUAUAAUGAAAUAAAAGUAAAACAAGCAAUAUCUAAUUACGAAUAAUAUAUAUACUACUUUCUCAUAUGUGUAUCUCAAAAGAAAUAUCCCUCCUCAUAGGGAUUUAAUAUAUACAUCAAAAGUUUUAACAACAAAACAAAGCAUUCAAAUAAAACUAUCUCAUUCUCCAGCUGCUCACUAAGGAGCUCUAUUAUCUGCAAUCUCAUCUGCUCCCGUGUAAAACACGAUCAUCACAGAUAAAGAAACAAACACAAACAAAUAACAGGGUAAGCUAUCUAUAUAAAAAGUUUUGAUAUAAUUCAAAUUUUAAAUUAAUAAGCAUAAUUCAUCAAUUCUCAUACGAUUUCUCAAACCAUCAAGUGGCUAUUACAUUCAUAAAAUUCAUAUUUCAUAUAUCAGACUUCUAUUGACUCAUAACACAUAGACUCUUGACUCUACUUCCGGAAGACUCGUGCGUUGACUUAGACUCAGAGAUCUGUACCUGUCAUACUAGCUCACUGUGAAAUCCACACAGUUAUGCGCAUAAAGAAUCUCAAUAUCAUAUCUCUCCUAGUAUGAUAACUUCAUCUAUAUGAUUUCAUUAUCUCAGGAGAGUCAGGAUAUCUCCUUCUAGACGAAUCCCUAGUCAAUGCACAUCCUAAACAAUCUUAACACGAUAUUUUCUUUCCUGAAAAUACUAUGUUUUGAUUUAAAAAUAUAUUCUAAACAUUAAAAUCUCCCACAUCAAACAAUCAAAUCAUUCCACAAUUUAGAAUUUCCAAAACACCCAACAAUUCAUUUCAACUAGAAUGAAAAUAAAAGGAGAAUGAAAUAAAAUUAUCUUCCAACUACAACUAUAUCCAACAGUAUAGUAUUUAAUAAAAAGGAUGAGGAAGCCACAACAUGANNNNNNNNNNNNNNNNNNNNNNNNNNNNNNNNNNNNNNNNNNNNNNNNNNNNNNNNNNNNNNNNNNNNNNNNNNNNNNNNNNNNNNNNNNNNNNNNNNNNNNNNNNAAUUUUAGUUCAUAAACUGAAUCAUCAAGAAAUAUUCAAAAUAUAUAUGCUCUGAAAUUGUCAAGAAACAAAUAAUCACAAACCUUUUUCAAAUACAUUCAUCAAUUCCAAACUUAUAUACAUUCUACAUCAUCUACUAUAUCUAAAUUUUAGAUUUCAAUCUCAAAACAGUUUCAAUCUCAAACAUCAAUCUCAAACAUCAAUCUCAAACAUCAAUCUCAAACAGUUUCUAUCUCAAACAGUUUCUAUCUCAAACAGUUUCUAUCUCAAACAGUUUCUAUCUCAAACAGUUUCUAUCUCAAACAGUUUCUAUCUCAAACAGUUUCUAUCUCAAACAGUUUCUAUCUCAAACAGUUUCUAUCUCAAACAGUUUCUAUCUCAAACAGUUUCUAUCUCAAACAGUUUCUAUCUCAAACAGUUUCUAUCUCAAACAGUUUCUAUCUCAAACAGUUUCUAUCUCAAACAGUUUCUAUCUCAAACAGUUUCUAUCUCAAACAGUUUCUAUCUCAGUUUCUAUCUCAAACAGUUUCUAUCUCAAACCGUUUAAACAAAUUAUUCACCUUAAAAUCAAUAUAAAAAAUUCACAAUCAACCAUUUGAAGAGACAAUCCUGAAAGCAAAAACAAUUGAAAUUGGUGACCACGUCACCUCCAAAUCCAGAAUCUUCUAACCUAUGGUUUCAUUGAAAAUAAUAAGACUAGCUUCCCUUACCUGAACUUUAGCUGAUGCUCACUAAGAGCUCCAAAUCUACCAAAUGCACCGUCCUACUCAAAAGUUGAGUUAGAUAUUAACCCGUACAAAAUCUAAGAUUAACCCGUACAAAAUCUAAUAAGAUCAAAAUUAACUCAAAAGAAAAAGGGGUCAAGAAGGAACUUAAAGAAAAUAUUUUGAUGGAUUCAAAACCAGGAGUCCAACGGCAGACUCUGAUCGCCAAACUAGGAAGUUAGAAUCUUAUAGAAAAGGGAGAAAAGGAAAAAGAGGAACAAAACUGAACUUACUCUGAUCAUCAAACUGAUGAGCGAGGAGAGUUAGAGAGAAGGGAGAGUAAGGAAAAACGAAACUUUUAGAGAGAUGGUGGUUAUUUUAAAAUGAAACAUGAAUAACUGAAUUUUCUAUUUAUAUAUCAUUUUCAUUUUAAUAAUAAAAUAUUCAGUAUCAUUUAAAAUAUACAACUUCUACUCUAAGAUUAUCAUCUAAAAUAUUUAUAUAUCUUUUAACGCUUGCGUUGUUUUAAAGUUAACAAUACACCGCUCACCCUUAAUUUUGUUUAAUUUUGAAAGCUUUGAAAUAAAAAGCUAAUUCUCAACCCUGUCACUCCUUUCUUAAAGGAGCCCUUUCUUUUUUAUUCAACGCUCGAAACUAUUGUUUACAAGAAUAAUAAUAAUAAUAAAAAAACAAUUUCUCCUUUAGUAGUUUUGAAUGGGCCAAACUAUACUCUUUUCAAGAUCUCUCCUGGGCUUUUUCUUUCUGAAACUCCUAAUUUCAAUUUACACCUCCAUAAAUUUAUACUACAAGAAAAUCAUAAAAUAGAAACCAAUUUUUAGAUAUCAAAAUAAUUAGUUGUAAUAGUAACUAAAUUAGAGACCAGUUUAGAAACUAAAAAAAAAUUGAUUUCUAAAUUAGUUUCUAUUAUUGUUAAAUAAUUUUUAAAUUGGUAUCUAAUUAACUACUAAGGUUUUAACUACCAAUUAUUUAGUUUCUAAAUUUGGUUACAAAAAUCUUGGUUGCUAAUUAGAUAUCAAUUUAGAAACCAUUUAACAAUAAUAGAAACUAAUUUAGAAAAAAUAUUUUUUUUUAAUUUUUAAAAUGGUUUCUAAUUUAGUUACUAUUACAGCUAAUUAUUUUGAUUUUUAAAAAUUGGUUUCUAUUUCAUGAUUUUUUUUAGUGUUAAAUAUUCUAAAUUUAUCUUUUUAAAAUUAAAUACUUUAUUUGAUUAGUUGGUGUUAGAAUGUUUGUUACGUUUAUGAAGGAUGUGGUGUGGUUCGUAGUGGUGCUUAGUGCAUUUGGUGAAUAUCUGAAUUUUUGCAUUUUGAGUUUCACUUUUUUAUAUCACACAAUCUGGACAACUUUUACAUUAUAAAUCUAUAAUAUUAAUUUUUUAUUUUAUUUUAUAAAUUAUAAUCUGAAAUUUAUAUUUAUAUAUUUUUAAUAUAUAUUUUAAAAUAUAAAAUUUGUGAUUUUUUUAAAUAUUUUGUUUUUAUUUUAUUCUUAAGUUGUGGAAUUGCAUCACAAUCACAUAUAUUUCAUUGGUUUGUACAAACAACUAUAGAAAACAACUUUAGAAGUGAGGGCUGAAUAUAGAGAUGAAAUUCUAAUAUUGAACCAAAAUAUACGAUGAAGUAGAAAAGUUGUUUGUGAUGAAUCAAUUGGAUAUAAUGAAGUUUGUGACAACUUAAAAUGAAUUGGUUGAAGGAAAUUGUGUUUGCUCUUUAACAACAAAUAAUAUAAUUAUAAUUUAAUUAAUUUAAGUAGAAACAUGUGAUAUAUGACAUUUUUUUUAUUAGCAAAGAAUAGAAUUAAAUUAAAAGGGACAUUUCAAACCCUUAUACAAGAACCAUUCACCACAUAUAGCUAUAACAGAUCGAGGCAACCAAACCAUAAAAAUAAAUACAACACUAAGAAACCAGACACGAAAGGGCUGCCAAUACAGCUACAAAAGUGCUUCUGAAUUAUGCCGCAGAAACAAGGAAACUUGUCCCAGCAACCUGUACCGCAUGAGCUACAUUAAACGCCAUCUGGAUGCUGCCCCAUGACUACAAUACCUCUGUUGCAGCCCCAAAAACAUCCUGCUGAAACCUGCUUCUAGUCCCUUGGCCCAUCUUGUUGGUACUUCAAUGUACACAUGACCCCCAAACUGCUUACAACCGGAUCACCUACAUUGCACAAAACUAGCAACCAACAACAUUCCAACCAAAUCUUCACUUGGAUUGCCUUAAUUACUAAAGCCAAGUAGAUUCCACCUUUUUCACUUACCAACAGCACCUUCCAGGUACACCAAUGGGAGCUCCAGAUAUAAAACCAACCACGUCACAAGAUCUAAAGCAGCAUGUCGGGUUUACCUUCUUAUUUGGACAACAGCAAAAAUGCGCCUUCCAAAGGACCAAUCACUUCAGCUGCUUGUCACAAAUAUGCAAUAUAACUUAGGUCCACCCUGCACCAGCAUAGUUGGCUGCAACGCAUCAAAACAACCCCUCAACAUUAGAUUGUUACACCGUGGUCAGAGAUUGAUCAUAGUCGUGACUCAUGCAUUUGAAAGAUUCAAAAGGAGAGUCCCUUCGCACUCAUUCACAUAAACUCUCAGCUUUGGCAUAAGCUUUCCUUCAUAAUAGGAUACUCCAUCCCAAUCUAUUCUAGUAGCUACAAUCACAUUACAUCAGGAAAAACUUCUAAAAUGCUACCCCACACCACAGCUCCUACUUCACUCACCUUUCAACACUUCCUACUGAUUUCCUCACCACUUCCUCCCUUAAUUUCAUCUGCUUCACUACAUAACCGUUAUGCUUCAAAUCUGGAUAUAGAAACAAGCUGUGUGAAUAUCAGUAUUCACAUUAACUGCUCAAAAGUUCUAAAAGACCCUGCUCUGUUUGAUUUCUGCAACAACUACACAACCACACCACUACAGAAUACUAUGCUCCUCCAUUAUGACCAUCAAUCAUUCCUCCAAAAGCUCCUUGGCUUCGAGUCCAUCAUCACUAGAGACCUCCCUUUUCAGAGUACACUUUGAAGGCAUUGGCUUGGGUUCAGAUGCCAAUUCGAAGAAGCAUACGAAAAGGAGCACACCCUGUGUUUCAACCAUAACCAAGUAAGGAGUUGAGCCAUUUGGAAAAUUUCUUCAGCGUCAGGUACCCCUAGCUUAAAGAUAACACUAUUCCUCUUCUCCAAGAUGCAUCGAACUAUUGCCACCCACAUACCUUUCAACACUUGAUUCGGCUUAAUAGACAUAUGAGCCAGAUAAAAGUUCUCAAAGUGACACCUCAAAUCCUUAUGUUGAACAAACAUAACACCUAUCCACCUGAAGCAUAAAGACCAAACUCGUUGUGCAAAAGAACACUCCCAGAACAAGUGUUGAGUAGUUUCUUCUGACUCUCUACAAAGCACACAAAUAGAAGAGUUUACUGCCACCCCUCUCCUAAGAAGAUUAACAGAAGUUGGGAUUUUGUCGAGUAAGAUUCUCCAUGCAGUUAUAAGGGCUUUAGGCAUUGCUUUAACCUGCCAAAGAGAACAAAAACCGCUAUCAUGUGCAUCAUUGUUUUGAUUAGCCAGACGUACAUAAGCUGACUUCACAGAGAAGUUCCCUGUGGUAUCCCCUCCCCAGACAAGAAUAUCCUUGGAUUCCUUGUUCAUGAUGCCUUUGUUAAUGUGCGUAAGCAACUCUUCCUCCAAAAACGGAUUCCCAAUCAAACCUAGCCCUCCUCCAAUUUAGCCUCCAUUGCCAUCCAUAAACCUCGCACGUACCUACCUCUCCCACCUUCAUUCCUUGAUCCAUAGAAAGAGAAUAAAGUCUAGGAUACAUAGACUUAAGAUUAUUGUUAUUAACCGAAGCGUCUUCCCAGAAUCUAACAUUGCCUCUAUCACCAACUUUCCACACAAUAGUCUUUUGGAACCAAUCAUCAUCUUCACCCUCUCCACAAGCUUUAGAAAGAUCUCUCCACCACCAAGACUGUCAUUUCGAACGGGCUUGGCUUCUUCCUAAUUCCGAACCAUACUUAGAAAAAAGAAUGUCUUUCCACUUCCCUUUUUCAUCCUUCAUCAGUCAUCAUUUCCAUUUUUGUCAGCAAAGCAUUAUUAAAGUUUAUGAAAUCUUUAAUCCCCAACCCUCCUUUCUCAAGGGGUUUACACACAUUCUCCCAUCUUACCCAUGAUAUAGACCAGUUAUCUCUGCCCCAAGCCCAAAGGAACUUCCUUUGUAUACUGAUUAUUCUGUUACAAACCGACAUCGGUGCUUUAAAGAAGGACAAGUAAAAGAGAGGAAUGGCGGUAAACACCGAUUUAAGUAAGUAGACUCUUCCUGCCAUAGAUAAAAAUCUCCCCUUCCAGAUACUAAGUCUAGCAUUGAUUUUGUUUAUGACUGGCUCCCAAAACUAUUUCUUCCUUGGGUUACCUCCUACUUCUAAUCCCAGAUAUUUAAAAGGGAUCGUCAUGGUCAUGCAGUUCAGAGUUUUUGCAUAGGUAUUGAGGGAGAAGCUAUCAACACCAAUGCCUGCCAACUUUGAUUUGUGGAAGUUGAUUUUUAGACCUGAGGCAAGUUCAUAACACCUUAGCAUCGCCUUUAUAGUGAAGACAUUAAAGAAUGAGUCUUCGCACAUAAACAAAGUGUCAGCAGCGAAUUGUAACAAACAACACUCAAUUUCAUUCCUCCCCACCUUCUCACCUUUGAGCAAAUUCAGUUUUGACACUUGUCUCACUAACCCGGCCAAGCCUUCAGCUACCACGAGGAAGGGAAACAGAGCUAAAGGAUCUCCCUGUCUUAACCCCCUAGAGGGUUUAAAUUCCUCCGUAGGGCUACCAUUAACCAGAACAAACACAAACAACGACUCCAAGCAUCCUCUGACCCACGCAAUCCAUUUAGAAUGGAAUCCCAACCUUUGUAACAUAUCAAAGAGGAAUUUCCACUUAACCGAGUCGUACGCCUUUUCGUAGUCCACCUUCAAACAAAUCCCACUCCUCCGUUUUCUAGUUACCUCCUCAACCACCUCAUUUGCCAGAAGGACACUAUCUAACCUUCCACGAUCCUUCAAAAAAGCUAACUGACUCUCAUCAAUGACCAGAGAGAGGACAUCCUUCAUACGAAACGAUAACACCUUAGCUAUGAUCUUAUAGAUGGAUCCUACAAGGGAAAUUGGUCUGAACUGGUCAAGCGUAGUAGGGUCCCUGACUUUAGGUACAAGUGCGAUGAAAGAGGCGUUACACCCCUUUGGAAUGCACCCCGUUUCCUAAAAGAAGUGCAUCGCUUCCACAAUGUCAGACUUAAAAGUUUCCCAACUAUUCUUGAUGAAAUUGAAAUUGAACCCAUUCGGGCCCGAACUCUUUGAACCUUCACAUUGCCAAACAACUUCCUUCACCUCUUCCUCUGUGAAGCUGGACACUAUUCUUAAACUAACCUCCGCGGGAAGGGUUUUGAACUCCACAAUACCAAGAUUAACCCCACAAUCAUGUGUAACCAAGAAUCUUUGAUUAAAUGUACUCUUAGCUUCCCUACAAAUAACUUUCAGCUCUUCACACCAUUGAUGAUCAAUCUCUACACCUUUGACCUCAUUUUUAAGUCUUCUCCACUUGACUCCAUUGUGAAAGAAUUUAGAAUUUGUAUCUCCCAACUUAAACCAGUUUGCUCUAGAUUUUUGUCUACAAAGAGAUUCCACCUGCUUAUCAAUCAGCCUCAACUGACUAAACAACUCCAUUCUUCUCAACUGACCGUGCUCCUCAAGAAUAUUGUUGUCAUCGUUAACAUCGAGAUCUUCAAUAUGCCUCAAAAUUUGCUUCUUCUUGGACUCUAGACACUCAAACACAUUUUUGUUCCAUUCUUUAAGGUCGGCCUUUAGAAGCUUCAAUUUAUCUUUGAGUUUAGAUAUGCUAUUCCCCUGCACAUUAUAAGAACACCAUUUCUCCUUCACAAAGUCCUUGAAACUAGGCUCCAUAAACCAUGCGUCAAUGGUUCUAAAAGGUUUAGACCCCCAAUCUUUGACCGAAAAUUUCACCACUAUAGCGCAAUGGUCGGAUACCACUCUCGGUUGUACAUAUUGCUUGCAAGACGGCCAAAUUUGAAGCCACUCUUAGGAAACAAGAAACCUAUCUAAUCUGCUUUUACCUGUACCAUUUGACUUGAACCAAGUAUAUUUUUGACCUACUACGGACACGUCCACCAAGUAAUUGCUUUCAAUAAAAUCAUUAAAGCCACUAAUCUCCUUUUUUUUGACUAGAAUUGCCUCUAACUCCUUUCCUUUCAUCUUCUCUUCUAACUGCAUUAAAAUCCCCACAAAAGCACCAUGCCACACUUUGAUGCAUACUCUUAAAAGACGUCAAAGUUUCCCACUGAGCAACCGUAUCACUUAAAUUGCAUGCUGCAUAAACGUUUAUCACAACACACAAGCUAUUAGAUUUAAGGUGUUGGCCCAGAAUAACAAUAAAGCCACUUCCUACAACAUGUUUAUCAUACCGAAAUGCUUCUUUGUGCCACAUGGAUAAGAUGCUCCCUGCCCCAUUCACUCCUUCAUUAUGUAUCCACCCAACAUUACUAUCUCUCCAUAGCGAAAAACAUUUAUUGUCUGAUAAAGUAGAUGCUUUUGUCUCUUGCAAACAUAAGAAUUCCGUACCCUCCUUAGCAAUAAAGUGUUUCAAAUAGCGAGCUUUAGAAACCCCCCAGACCUCUAAUAUUCAUAUUGAUAAUAAUCAUAACACACCGGCAUCCUCCUCAGACGACAUCAUUACUUCGUUAUCUCUAACCUCCAUACAAUCCAUUUCUCUAAUCACUGCCUCCUCAUUACCUGAACAUUUCAUCCCCAGAUGUUUACCCGUUCCCCACAACUUGACAGAUUCAGUAUCAUUCCAUUCGACCCUCAGACGGUUAUUACAAUUGAUAAUAUCACUAUCAGUUCCGGCUUUAGAGCAGAGGCUUAACCUGGAUGAGGAUCUGAUCCCAUAUUGAAGGGUUCCUUGGCCUCCCUUGGACAUCCUUCGUGGUUGUGCAGAGGUCGCACCCAAUUCCCAGAGAGCGCGUAUCCUCUGGACUCUCUCUGGUGACUUGAACCCUUCCUUCGCACCUGCAUCUUCCUCCCAGUGCCAUCGGUCCUCCUUUCUAACACUAAAUUAUCCUCGAUUCCCUCUUCGCAGAGACUUUGAUUAUGGUUAUUAAGAAGGUCCUUGUCGCUGCAUUCCGAGGAGCUUCCGUCAUUGCCGCACCGCUUAACAAAAGGAGUUUCUUCUGUUUUAGUCAGUGUAUUCGCCUUUCCUUUCGUCGGUAGGGGUGCCCCAUAUAACAACUCACCUGAACGAUUCUCCAUCUCACCUUCGACGUCACCGGAGUAGACAGGCGAAGCCUUCGGACUUCCUGUCACUCCUAACAUGUCCCCUGAAUGACCCUCUGCCUCUCUACCCCCACCUCCCGUAUUCACAGGGCCCAAUAACAAAGUUUUUUGAUUUUGGGCUUCAACGACAAAAAGAUGGCCCACACAUGUUUCAGGCCAAGUAACCUUUGCACAAGAUAAUUGUACCUCAGCUAAGUUAGCCAAAGAAUUUUGAAUAAUCAUGCAAGCUGCGUUGACCUGUUGUGCCACUGAUAAAGCUGCCCCUACAUCAGAACCUACCUUCUCACGCAUUGCCUUAUUUGAGUAGGAGGAUCUGUCUUUUUGCUGACACACCAAAUCAUUCUGACAACACUCUUCCAAGAGCUUCUUUUUUUGUCUCUAGCGGAGCACAAACUUUGUCUCCUUCCUUGGUCGCCUCCGGUUGCCGUAAAACACCACCGUCAUCACCGUUCUCAUCCCCAUCAUCACUAGAUCUUGACGAGAAAAUCGUUUCCUCAACAAAGGAUUCCAUUGAAGAAACGCUAUCUGAGGAGUCGUAGUGAUUCACGGGGCAAUUACACACUCCUACCCCUUGCAAGGGUUCCUCCUCAACUAGAGAAAUAUUAAAAGCUUUUCCAUUAAUCUGAAAGGCCUUUACCACCCCUUCUUUACAGGACAACGACAUACGAACCUGGAAACGAGCAAAUUCUAGGUUCUCCCAUGAUAAUGUAGCCUCAUCUAUGGUUACCACAGACGCUGCUUCUCCAACCACCUUUGUAAGGCAUUCCUUGGUCCACAAAGAUAUGGGUAGACCAUAACAUCUGACCCAUACCAAUCUGUGGUUCGCUACACAUGCUUCAGACCAUGGUUCUACGUCCUUGAACACACUUACAAACCAGUCUUUGUUUAGCUUAAUAAUGUCUUCCAUAUGAUCCCCUUCCUUAGGUGUUAGGAGUACCAUGUUAUCUCCCAUAAAUCUAACUUUAACCAUACUCAUCCCCCUUUGAUAAGUUCUUCACAUAGUAAAUCAAAGUUCAUGUCUUCGGACAUCCAUCCAACUGCACUGUUAGCCAUCCAAGGAAGAACUUGUGACUUAGUUUCAAAGACAAGACCUUUCCACUUCUCUUGUGAGGUAUUUCUAACUACAUAAGCAUAAGAGUGACUCACGUUAUGUGCCCUUUUGACAUCCUUUCCUUUUUUUUUUUCUCUCCAUACCUCCUUACUUUUUGGCUUCACAGGUUCAUGAGUGAAAUGAUUUUUGGCCUGUAUGGGUAAAUCAGACUCACCACCUAAUUGUGCAGAUACAACUCUCUUGUAUUUAGGUAUGUUCACAUAUAACUUCAUGUUGCCAAUGUAGAUUUGAUCCAACUGCUUCUCUAGACAAAACACAUUUUCCACAUCAAAUAACCUCACAAAACCAAAUCUUCUUCCCCAUCUAUUAAGACGUUUUGAGAUGAAUACCUCUUUCACCCUAGCCCAUUUCUGAAAGAUCUUUAGCAUGUCAUAUUCGCCAAAGCCACCUGGAAAAUUUGAAAAGAAGAACGUAAAGUAAUUAUUCACCGAAAAAAAAUUUCUAUGCUCCUCAGUUUUCCGUCGGUGGCCUUCUCUCUCCCUCCUCCAACGUUCCUCCCUAGUCCUCCGCCAGCGCUCCUCCUUCAUGACCGUGUUUUAAUCAGUCACAUUUUAUAUGAAUAUCCAUUGAAAUGAUUCAACAAGUACAAGACAUAUGACAUAUACUUAUGUUAUAAUGUAUUUAUUUAGAUAUUUGGUAUGCAGGAUGACUUUAAUGGGUACAUAAGGUGACUGUUAAACUUUCCAUUUGUAACUGUCAUUUUGAGGUUCGACAAAGAGCAAAUGGGUCAAGGAAGAAAUACAUGUUUAUUGGAAAGUACUGUAACUUGUACAAAAUAAUGUGAUUUUACUUUUAAAUUAUUUUAAAUUAUAGAAUAAAUCAUUUUGCAAUGGAGAAGUUUGAGGGUUGAAGGUAAUAUGUGUGAUUUAUAAUCAUGAAUUUUUUUUAUGAAAACAAAAUUUGUAGAUAUUUUAUCUACGGACAUACAUCCUUAAAUAAUAUUAAUAAUAAAAUAUUACCCACCGAUAUAGAUCUGUAUGUAAAUUACUUAUAUCUUUAUAUUUGUAGAUAAAUUUAUCUAAAUAUUUAUAUAUGUAGAUAUCACUUACUAUUAUAUCUGUAUAUAGUAUUAAUAAUAUUAAUAUUAAUUAUGAUAAUAAUAAUAUUAUAAUUAUUAAUAUUAUUAUGAAUACUAUUUCUAUUAUUAUUAUUUAUUAUUAUAAAUAAUAUUAAUAAAAAUAAAAAAUAAAAAAUAAAACAAAAAUAUUUUAUCAUUAUUAUUAUUAUUUUUAAUAAUUUUUUUGAUAAUAAUAAUAAUAUUAUUAUUACUAUUAUUUUAUUAUUAUUAUAUAUUUUAUUUUGCAGGCCAGCAAACCAACCUGUCCCGCCCCGCUGUUGGCCUUCGCGAGUUGCGGUUAUGCGGGAUGAGUCUAAGCGGGUCAGCGAGCUAGAUUAGUGAACCCGCCCUACCCUUUUUAGUAGCGGGCCGCAGGUCGGUCCUCAUGGUCCACUCUACAUUGCCACCUCUAGCUUGUACCCAUAUUGGCAUAAAAUACGCUCUAACAAAUGGCAAUGUAUACACGUACCUAGAUGAGCAUAUCAAAAGAACAUGAAUAUCAACUCGAAUGAACUACUAAGAUGAUGGUCAUCGUAAGGAUUCCAAAUUAUCCUUGCAUGGGUCAGACCAUCCAACUGCAUAUACAUAAUGCUAACAUUGUGUAGUAAGCGGAUUGGGGAGGCCUUCGUUUACCAUUGGGACGCGUGUUCUCACUUUAAUCAGUUUUACCUUGAUUGAACUUCUCAGAAGACUAAGAAAUAUUGAAGGUGUUUGUGGAUUGCUAUGAUUGGGGAAAUUUAGAAACAAAGGAACCUCGUUAUCUUUAAGAAUGGUAGAGUGGAUUGUCUGGAGAUCUUCACCUUGGCCCAACUCAAGGUGUGGUCUUGGCUCACGAGUAGAGUAAACAAUGUUUCAUUUACGUAUGCUUAAUGGUGUCUGGACCCUUUGUUCUAUUUGAAGUCAAUUAAAAAGUAAAUGUGGAGUUGGGGUCUUUGUGAGUUUUGGUAUGUGUUGCAGGUUUGUCAGGUGGUUCCGGGGUUUUGAAGCUUAUUGAUUUAUUUCUUCUUAUUGUUUUACUUUUCCCCUUUUGGAUGGAAGAACUUGAUAGGAUCUUGGUAGGUUUUUUGGUUGGAGCUCUUGACCUACUAGGGUAAUGAGCCUUUAAAAUGGACGUUGUCGGGCAGUGCUAGUGGGGGGAAUCUUGUGGGGGCCGGUAGGUUAGCUUAGUUAACUUUGAUAUAUCUUGUUUUUAUGGUUUGGGUUCUACUAACGUUGGUCUUUGGCCAACAAAGGGGUUUAUUCUUGGUUGUAGGUUGUAAGUUGGAAUCUGGUGUUUUAUAGGUAAGCUUAGUUUUUUGCUUUAUCUCUGGUGGUGUGUUUUGAUCAGGGUUUAUGGAAAUCGGACAUAUCGGCAUGAAGGUAAAGGUACUCUAGGCUUUGAAGAAGAGUGGUUCUUUUAGCAUGAUGUUGUGAGUUUGGCUGUGGGUAAGGGAUUUGAGUUGUAUUAGUUUUUUGAUUUGUAACUAUGUUUGUAGAAUUUUGGUUGUAGUAGGAUUUGUUUUGUGUGUAUUGUUUGGACUAAAGACUGGUUGUAUGAACCUGGAUAGGGGAGUAAGGGCUAACUUGCGUGGUUUGCCACUCCUUUCUUUUGAGGUUGGGUUUGGAGGUCUGUAGAGCCUGAAUGGUCAGGUUUUGUGCAUGUUGGAUUUGGCUAUAUAAUGUAUAAGGGUUGAGACACCUGUGAAGUAUCUCCUUUUAUUAUAUUUAUUUUUUUGCUGAGAAAAAAUAAACAUUGUGUAUAUAUCGCCUAGUGACAUAUUUUCUUGUUCAUGAGUCAACCCCUAAUAAAGUGAGAUUCAUAUAUUUCACUCCUAUCCUUAAAAAGUGCUCGUGUAUCAAUGCCUAUUACAAUUUCAACAAAAAAAAAUUGUUCAUAUAUUCAUAUGAAAAUAAAUCUACCUUAUACAAAUUAUAUAUAUUAUCUACCUGUAAAAUCGUAAUAUAACUGUCCAAUUAUUUUUUUUUGAACAAACACAUAUUCCUUAACUAGUCCUACAUCUGAGUCACAUGUAUUAUUUCCUCAAGUCUUUAUACAUUUAUUAUACUAAUAAAAAAUGAAUUUACUCAAUUUACCUAUUUAUAACAAUAGAAUAAAAAAAUUUACAUAUUUUUACCAAAUAUUAACUAUAAUUAGAAAAUAAUAUUAUUAAAAUAAUAAAUAAAAAUUAAAGUGUUAAUAUAAUUAAGUAAUAAUAAAUAAAUUAAGUAGUCAAACUGUGGAUACAUUGAAAAAUGUUAUAAUAUUAAAAAACUGAAAAUGUCAAUCUAUAUAAUUAAAAAUAAUAAAUAAUUAAUAAAAAUGAUAAAAAAUUAUUAUUAAUGGUUUACAAGUAAAACCACCCACCAUAUUCAUUAAUUUAACUUGCAACUGCAUACCAUGUUUAAAAAAUCUACAUCAUUGAUUAGAUACAGAGCAAACUAACAGUGUCGAUUACUACCAUCGCUAACUCGUUUUGAGAAUCUAUACUGCGGAACGGAUUUAUUUUUUGCAAUAGGGUCCAAGAUCCCAACCUUCUUUUACCAGUCAAUAAUAUUUGUUUUAGGCAGAAAAUUAUUUUAUAAUUGAAAUUUGUUCUUAAUUAGAAGUAUUUUGCUAUGCUACCUUUUUUUGUGUAAUGUUAUUUAUAUAUUGUGUAUCAUCGUUUAUUAAUCAGUGAAAAUCAUUCAAAUUUAUUUUAUAUAUUACUUUUCAAAAUUUCUAGAGUAAUAAUUAACAAAGACUUAUUAAUUGACAUUAAAAAUCAGUUAUUUAAAACCACGAACACUUUUCACUUUCUAAAAUUAAUAUAUCUAAGAUAGUUUUUAUUUAAAGAAUUUGACGGUGACAAUAAUGAUACUUGAAUGUUAUUUAAUCGUGUUAUUUUAUAACAUAUUUUAUUUAAUAUAGUAUUAUUCAAAAGAUAAUUAUAUCAUAUAUUUUUAAUAAAUAUUAUAUUUAUCCCAUUUGAUAACAUAUAUAGUUCAUUAUAUUUUCUUCUUUCUUAACAAAAUAAUUAAGCAUAAAGUAUUUUCUCUUUUCAAAAGUAUCUUUUUAUAAUACAUAUUAUGAUUGUUUUGAAUAUAUAACUUUUUCUUUUUUUUAAUAAAAAUACUAUUAUUUAUAAAAUUUAAGAAAAAUUAAGAAUUUUGGGGUUGCCAUGACAUCUUUCCUAUCGAAGAGACUCUUUUACUAGCUGCCUUCCCUAGUUGUCAUUUGUUAUAACUAAUCAUAUUUUUCUUUACUAUUACGAAUAAUUUAACUCUUUUUUCUGGGUACUUUAGGGGUAUCAAAGUGAAGAAAUGAAUAUCUUUGCCAAAAUGGGCUUGCAUAUUUAGAUAUAAUAUUAUAUUGUCAAGUAUAUUUGUGCAUAUAUGUUAUAAAAUCCUACUGUCAAAAUUUGAUACCUGGGCCAACUCCAAUGCAUUACUUGUUACUUUUUGUUUUUGUAAAAGGGAAAAACAUGCUUACAUCAAUUCACGUGCAAAUGGACAAGCAAAUAGAUAACUUUGAUAUGCAAGUCAGAGCCUUUUGUUCAUGAAUGAUUGAGUUAAUCACAAUGGGGACAGACAAAACUAUUCCUAUAUACUUUCAAUAAUUCACUGCAUAUCAUAAAAUAAUAGAUUGCAAGCUCGUUUUUUCCUUUCAAAACCAACACUUUUAAUAAUUAAAAUGUUAACAAAAAUAUUUUUUUUUUCUAAAUCAAAUGAACAAACUUAAUCAGCUUAUACCGAAAAACUAAAUAGAACAUAUACAGAUAUUGCAUGGAACUGAUUUUAGAGGCAGUGUCAUUGUAGCAGCUGCCUCAGCCACUGCCUAGAGCAUUGCUGCACCAGUGUUGAUACUGCCCUUCAUAUACUGCACUUUUUUUUAUGGCAUUCUACGGCUCUGGUAAGGAUCAGAGACCACAACAUUCAUCAAGUAGCUUUACAACUUUCAUCUUCUCAAAUUUUCCAGAUAAUUAUGGGGAAUACGAUAGGAUCAAGAUCUUCCGGUGAUGGACUAGGGUAAAGGAAGUGUUCAACAGGUGGGGGGAGAAGAUUUGGGUUUUUGAGGCUCUUUGAUGUGGAAAACACAAGUACGCUGGAGAGGGAGCUGGACCAAGUUCGCGUAGGCAAUAUGAAACUCUAUGUCAAUAUUCCGCGUUAUAGAAGAGCAGAGUUGGAGCAACCGGUGAGUCACACAAAAUCUGCGGUGGAACAACCAUACCGUAAGUUCAAUGAAGCUAGGAAACGCUACAAACAAGAACCAAGGGAGAAAAACAACAAAGAGGUAUGAAGGGUUAAGAAAGGGAAGGAGAAGAAUGAAUGGAGAGUGAUCAAAGAAAAGCAAUCCUACGCGGGUGCAGUGAAAAAAUCUUCAAAAGGAGUAUGGAAGGUUCCUAUUAUUGAAACCAAGCAACAAGUCCUACCUUGGAUGUCUAAUAGUGCAAUGAGGCAUAUAUUAACAAAUUUAAGCUAUAAUCAGUUGUGUGAAGAAUUCAUCAUGGGGGGAUGAAUAUGGUUAAAGUGAGGUACUUGGGUGAUAAUCUGACUGUGUUAACUCCUAGAGAAGGGGAACAGAUGGAAGAUCUUAUCAUGUUUAACAAAGAAUGGUUUGAAAAUGUUUUUGAGGUUAUUGAGCCAUGGUGAGAUUCACACGUAGCAGGCCAUAAAAUUGUUUGGGUUAGAUGCUAUGGGCUCCCUAUAUCUCUGUGGAACAAAUAUUACUUCUCUAAAGUGGUAGGUGAGGUAGUUUCCUUAGUGUUUAUUGAUAAGGCAACAAAAUCAUGGGAUAACCUUGAGUAUGCAAGACUCCAACUGCGUCUCCUUAAGUCGUGCUCUAUCAGCUUAGCUAAGGGGAUGAAGAUCAAUGGCCAUGUAUAUAACAUUUGCAUUGAAGAGGAGCACCCUAAUUUUGUUGAAGGUAAAUGUAAGUGCACGUUUAAUCACUAUGCUUCAUUAGGUAGUAUAACGUUAUCAGAGUCCUUUGUGGAGGAAACCUAGUUUUCGGAAAAGAAUGUUGAUGAAGAUGUCAGGAAAGGGGGAGGGGAGUUGCGGUGGCCAGAGGACUCGAUGAGAGGUGGGAAUGUCAACAUCCCGCAUAAGACAAACUUGUUGUAUGUUGAGGAAUUGUGUGUGCAUGAUAAAAAUGGGCAGGAGAAAGGUGGUAGUUCUUACACAAAUAAGGUAAAGGGGAAGCAGACAAAAUGUGUAGGGGACUCAACUUUAUGUGUCCUAUAUGGUCAAUGUUGCAUGCAAAAGCAACUUUGUCCAAGUAGCCUUGACCAAUCUUCUUGUAGUUGUGGAGGCCUUUAACAGUAGCAAGUCCAAUAAGAAUGUGGCCCAAAGGCUGCGUAGAGGCCUAUUCGGGGAGAGGUGUAGAGGCCCAAUUUUGGGACGACGACCCAUGUUAUGUAGAGGGUGGGCACGUAGAAUCAAUGGUUGGUCUAGUACGUGAGGAGGGCGUAUGGGCCAUUGGGAGCGAAACCGUGACAACCACUUUGAACGACAGUGAGAAAGGGAGUUCGUUCGUGGAAGCUAGCGACGAUAGUGAGAAUGGAGAAAAUCUGUUCAUGGAAAACAGUAGUGCUAUAGAGAGGGGAGAAAAUAUGUUUGUGGAAACCAGUAGCGCUAUCGAGAAUGGAGAAACACAUUACACACCCAUCAAUAGUAGCGCGUGCUCCGCCCAGGUGGGCAACUCGCACAUAGAGGAAGGUCCCCGAACCAGUCUCAUUAACAAAGGCAUCAGGGACGAAGUAGGUAUUCAGAUUCAGAGCAUUGAUGACCACGAAAAACAAUCCUUAGUGUUCGAUGAUGAAGAAGAUGAUAAGGGGGAUAAUUUUGUUACCCCGCCACGACACCGACGUCAGAAGGGUUGUGGGAGUUGGGAGAAUCAAGCAGGAUGCCUCGGGGGAAGUCUAGAAUUGGAGCGGGAAGUCUUUAUGUAGGGAUUUUCUCAGAUUCAAGGGUUAGUACAAAUUCUAACACCUUAUCUGGCGACAAUAUUGUUAAUUGUAACAGUAGAUUUCAGAUUUUUGGAAAUAUUGAUGAACCUAUAUAUCAAUUUUUGGGAGGUAGGAAAACAGUUAGGGGUCUCAUGUUGUGGGUAUGAGGAUGAUGUGGUCAAGGAAAUAGAAAGAAGGGAAGCAAGAGAUUUGGAGGUUAUGAAAAAGUACGAGGAGAGAAAUAAGGGGAGUUUCUUAUGAUUAUUGUGAAUCUGAAUAUAAGAGGUCUUGGGGAGGGAGGGUACUAAGGCUAAAUAUAUGAAAAAUAUUAUAGCCAACGAGAGUGCGAAUGUGUUGUGCUUACAAGAAACAAAAACAGUUGCGUUCUCAGAAGCUAGGUGUUUUUUGCUAUUGAGGAUAAUAAUGUGGGAUGGUUACAUAAUGAAGGUAUAAGUGGUGAUGGGAGUUUGCUAAUUACGUGGCAUAAAGAAGCGUUUCGUUGUGAUAGUCAUGUGGAGGUAGGGGCUUCAUUUAUAUUUUUGGUAAGCAUAUCAUAUCUAAAAUAAAAUGUGUGGGGAUCAAUGUGUAUGCAACGUGCAAUCUGAAUGACAAAGUGACCUUAUGGGAGGAAUUGACAACCAUUAAAAAUGCAAAUAAGAACUUGGCAUGGUGUCUUUGUGGCGAUUUUAAUGCUGUAAGAUGUGAAAAUGAAAGGAAAGCUAAAAGUGAAAGGGGCAACCAAAACAAUGAGAUCACUGGCUUUAACCAUUUUAUCGAAAGGAAUUUCCUGGUGGAAUUGCCAAUUGUGGGUAAGAAGUAUACUUGGUACAAGGAAAAUGGUACAACAAAAAGCAGACUAGAUAAAGUGCUUUUGUCUGACGUUUGGUUACGGAAAUGGCCAAUGGACAAACAAUAUGUACAACCAAGAGAGGUGUUAGAUCACUGUGCCAUAGUGGUGAAAUGUUUGGCCAAAGAUUAGGGUCCUAGACCCUUCAGGACUAUUGAUUCUUAGCAGAUGGAGUAUGGAUUCAAGGAUAUGGUGAGAGAUAAGUGGAAUUCUUACUUUGUUCAAGGCUAAAGCAUAACGAAAUUCAAAGAUACAAGCUAAAAAGUAUUAAGGCAGACCUCAAAGAGUGGAAUAGAGAUGUGUUUGAGCAUCUGGACAUAGAGAAGAACAGAAUUAUGAAGGAAAUUGAGGUUUUAGAUAUCCAAGAUGACGUCUUCGACCUCGAAGGCCACGCAAGGUUGAAGAGAAUGGACCUUACAGGUCAAUUGAGAGUGAUCAAUAAAAAGAUGAAGUCUCUCUUUAGGCAGAAAGCUAGAACUAACUGGUUUGUGCAUGGAGACUCUAAUUCUAAAUUCUACCACUCCGUAAUUAGAUGGAGAAGACUUAGAAAUGAGGUAAAAGGUGUCCUUGUGGGGAUCAAUGGUGUGAGCAACCUGAGGUUGUUCGAAGGGAAGCAAAAACUAUGUUUGAGGAUAGAUUUGUGGCUACACAUGAUUUUGGGGUUUAGGGUUUAACAAAGACAAUCAAGAAAAAGGCACACAAAAAGAAUCUAAGAUACUUACUAAACUUUUAACAAUGAAACUUUCUUUAGAAAUUGUUAAAGCAAAAGGAUAAAAAUUCCACAAUGUUAAAAUCAAUUUGUCAAUCAAAAUGGACCCACUAUUUUGAAAUGUUGCUAUUUUGAAAAGGUUGGAACCAAUAGACUUGCACAACUUCUCUUAUUUUUUUUUUAUACUAUUAUGGAAAUGAAAUGUCCAUAGUUUUGAUCAUGCAUAUUUUCAUAGACCUCCAAAUAUCACAAAAAGUUUGGGAUUCAAAUUAAUUGAUGACUUGAAAUCUUUUGUUUGGAACUUAAAUCUACUUCUACUAAAACAAACUUCCAAUUACUUUUAAACUUUCACAAUUAAAAGCAAAGUAAGUAGAAUCAAAAUAUAAGGACUCUUAGAACACUAAAGAACAUAUGACUCAAGACAAAAGAGGCAAGAACAAUAAAAGACAUAAAGGAACAUUCAAAAUGAGAACAAAGCCAUUGAAUAACAAUAAUGCCAAAUUGAAAAAAAGGAAAGUAAAGGACUGAAAUUAUAUGUGCUUGAAUGUAAAGACAAGAAAUUAAAGGUGUUUGAAUGUAAAGAUAAGAAAUUAAAGGUGUAAGAAAAGUAAAGUGCCAAAUCAAUUCAAAGCAAAAUAAGCUCAAGAACCUAAGCUCUGAUAACCACAUGAUGUGAGUUGAUUUUUAGAUGGUUCCAUUUUAUGGUGACACUUUUGCUUAAAGUUGGGAUUUUAGCAAUUUAUGGUGAAACCUAAGGAAGAUUCCCACUGAACACGAACUUAACCAAAUAGUUAAGUAAGUGUGAAGGUUCACUUCACAAAGGCAAAGAUGAAAAAUCAAUAUAAAAUGAUGCAAUGUGGAAUGGAAAUGGCAAUAAGGUAAGUAUCAAUGGUGGUCAUGGCCGAACCAAAUGAUGAACCAUUAGCAUAUAACAAAAGCAAAACAAAGUGUAAGAGUCCAAGAUAAAGACAUAUAUGAAAUGGAAAUGAAUUGAAAAGAGUGGAAGAAGAGUAGCUUAUGGAGUGAAUGCGAGAGUGGUUCACGUCACUUGGGGUGUGGUAGCCACCAAGAUGAGUGAAGAGCCGCCACUUGAGAGUCUCACACUACUAAAGAUAAGACCUAAUGCUAAGAGGAAACAGGCUUCAGUAACACCUCACACAAAUUGUGCAGAGUAACUUUUCUAUUUAAAUUCAACAUUAAAAAACAAGGAGUAAGGCACCCUAUUUAUAGGAAUGGGUGCAUUGGUGGACAAGAAGGGCAAGGGUAGGGUGGUAAAUGUGUGAGGGGGUUGCCUUUAGGGUUUGACUAAUUCAAAACUGCACCCUAGUCUUGUUCUUCUAGAAACUAGGUCAAAUUUCCUUCCUAAAACACUAGAAACAAGCUAAAAUGAUAACUACACCCCCUAUUAUGCUAUAGGCACCUAUUCUAGCCUAUCUUGCUAUUUUGGACCCCAAAAUGAGCCCAAAUUACUUACAUAACUUUUCUCUUGUGGAAAGGCCAAAAGGAAGAACUUCUGAUAUUCUGGUUUAUAGCUUGUUCUUCUUCUGCUGAUGCUUUCUCGAGGUUUGGUGGACCCGACUUUGUAUACUGAGAUGAUUGACCUUUUUGUGAAUUGUUUGUUGUGUCCUUAGUCCUCUACUGAUUGUUGUGGUUUGUAUCACUAGACAAUGGUGGUUCAUUGUCCAACACUUUUUUUUAAUCAACAAUAAAAAUUUAAUAAAUAGGAGUACUCAGGGUACUCCAACCCAUGUACAAAAAUCCCCUAUGCUAGAGAAAUGAGGUUUCCAGAUAAAAAUGACCAAAACAUAGCCAUAUUCUACCCAUAUAAUUCUAAUAAGCUUAAACAUCUUUAAAAACAUCUAGAUAUCAAUACAUAAAUCAAGCUAUCUAUAAAAAAAUCCAGCAAUCCAAUUCCAGAAUAUAAGCAUGUCAACUCUAAAGAAAGACUUUGCCUCCUUGCUAUCUACUGCAGUUUCCCAAGCACCCAUUAUGACUAUAGUUGUAGCCCAAGGAAAUUCCUCUCAUGCAAACCGAGAAUCCAGCAAAAAAAGUAGAGAAAAUGUGUUAAUCAUCAAUGUAGUGAUUUUAAACUUUCAUAUACAUUAAUACACCAAUCAGAAUAAGAGAAAUUUGACUUUGGAAAUUUAUAACUUACCCAUGCCCACGCUUUUACUUGGACCAAAGCAAUUUUUUUAACAGGAUCCACCAUUGCAUUAUUGAAAAUUAUCCUAUUCCUAUGGUUCCAAAUUCCUCAAAUAAUGGAAAUCCACAUACAUUUCCAGACACAAUUUCCCAAGUAGUUUAAACCUGUAAAACCUAUUUGUUUGUUGAGUAACAUUAUCACAAUGUACAAAAGUUCUACCAGCCCAAGCAUCAGAGAUAUACCACACUUUAGAAGUCACUUUAUAUGUGAAAAAAAGAUGAUUUACUGUUUCAAGCUCAGACCACACAUGGCACACAUCCCCUCUCCAACCUUAAUUCCUCUAUGUAUUAAAUUAUCAUAUGUUGCAAUUUUACCAAUUAAAACACGUCAGGCAAAGUAAUGUGCUUAUGGAAGAGCUUUUAGGCUAAAAAAAGAAUCAAAAUUGAAUGCAGAGAAUGAAUGUGGCUGCAAAAUAUUUUGGUGGCAAAGAAUUUUAUAAGCUGAGUUAACAAUAAAAGAAUUUGAGGUAUCACCUACCCACAUCCACUCAUCAUUUUUACAAGCAUAUAUUUUAAUAGUCUUCAAUUCAUCCAUAAAUUCAUUUAUAAUUUCAGUUUCCCAUUAAAACUACUAUUUUCUCCAUUCUAUUUGCCAUACCCAUUGGUUUUCAUGUCAUACCCUACAGAACCUUCUUUAAGCACUGAGUUUUAAAAAAUUAUGGGAUUUCUAUUUUUCAGAGUAUCAUUUCCUAUCCAAUAAUCUGUCCAAAACAGAAUAUUACUCCCUGCACCGACCUUCCACCUUCUCUGGUUAUCAAACUAACAAUUUGAGUUUCCUCCACACACCUUCUUGAUAUCUCUCCACCACCAAGAUUUAGUAUUUGACACAACACUAUCAUCCAACCCUCUCCAAGAACCAUAUUAAGAUUACGGGUGGCAAAGCGGCCCGCCCGCCCCGCAUAGGCCCGCGGGCUGGCUUGCAUUUUUGUUUUGAAACAUGGAGGAGAAGUGGAGGCAGCAACGGUGCGGUAGCAGUGAUGUGCGGCAACAACAGUGUGCAGUAGCGCGACAGUUGCAGGCGAAGCCGCACGGAGUUGCAAGUGGAGCGAGCGAAGUCGCAGGUGGAGCGAGCGACGACACUGCAACAGAGAGUGCGUCGUGUACAUUUUUUGGAACAACAUAGUUGCGUUGUGUUUUGAGUGAAAACCUAAUUUUCUUUCACUCAAAGUUGCAUCUCUUCCACGGACCAUUGCUGCCAAGUCAAUUUUUUUUUUUUUUAGCGAGCUAGCAGGCCAGCCCGCCUUGCCCCACUGCUGGCCCAUCCCACUUUGCCACCCCUAAUUUAGAUUCCAAUACCGGUUUCCAAAGUCCUUAUUUUUCACAACCAAGUCCCCAUUAUCAUUUCCCAAGAAGAACAAUAUUAAACAAAUUUACAUCCUUAAUUCAUAGUCCUCCUUCCGAUUUGGAUUGACAUAGGAAGUCCCACUUGAUCCAGGCUAUCUUCCUUUUAUCACUUCCCCAUCCCCAUAAAAAAUCCCUUUGUAAUCUUGUGAUUAAUUUCGCAACUGCCAUAGACAUUUUGAACAGAGAUAAGUAAUAUAAAGCGACAGCUGAAACAUGACAGAUUUUAUCAAAAUAACUCUUCCAGCAAAAUAUAAAUGUUUUCCAUUCCAACUAGAAAGCUUAGUUUUAAUAUUUGAUUUCAUGUCUUUCCAAAACACUUUUUUUCCUAUUAUUAUCUCCCACAAGACAUUGUCCUGCACUUGAUAAUUCAAGUGACGUUAAUCUGCCGACGAGGGAGCAUUAGAGUUGGAAUCCAGCGGCUUGCUCUCUGUGCAAUUGGGGGUAUGGCAGCAAGCCUACUGUGGAGGGGUUGCAAGCCAAGUUUAGACUAUGGUAUCUUACAGUAUAGGAGAUUGGGAACAACCAUUUUUUCUAUCUUCUAUUGUCUAUUUAUAUCAAUACUACAAUCCCUCUUUAGGAAUUUGUUUGACUUGGCUCUAUGCAGGUUAAUUGCUAGGAAAUUUAGUGGCUGCUGGUGUUUUUUUUUAUGCAGAACCAUCUGUUUGCUAAGUUGUGUUAAGCUUUUCUAAGUCGUGGUAGAUUUGUUCCCGUAUGGCGUGGAAGAAUGUUUUUUGGUUUGACUAGGAGAAAACGUUUUGGUUAUCGUAUAAGAGUUUGAACACUAUAAAGUCUUCAUUAAAUUCAAUUAUUCUUUGUUAUAAAAAAAUUGGAAAAACUAAAUCUGUAUGGAAAAUCUCAUAUUCCACAUACUGAUAUAUAUAAUGAAUGUGCAGUCAUCAUAUUUUUGAAAAUUUAGAAUAUAUAUAUAUAUUUUAGAAUAUUUGAAAGAUGUUUUAAUUCAUAUAUAAAAUAUUAAAAAUUUAAAUAAAUCUUAUUUAAAAAAUUACGAGAAAAUAUAUAUAUUUAAAAUUUGUCCAACAUAACAUAUAAAAUAACUAUCAACACAACACUGCAUCCUAAAAGGCGGAAGCCUUAAAUUUUCAUUUCUCGCAAAAAUCUGUAUUUGCACCUGAAACAAAGCCCCACCCCACGACACUAACGCAUUAGUAACAUGUAUAUGAUCAUUUGAAAUGUUAUUGAUCGAAACUUAACAUUAUAAAAACAUUUGAUUUUGAUAACGUGUGGAAUAAGGAUUUGUUCGAAAUUGGAGUUUGGUUUGGUGUGAAAGAAUUAUCCGAAAAAAGAAAAAUGGAGAGGAAAGUGGUAGAGUAUAUAAAGACGAAAUGAGAUGAGUGGGUUUGAUAGUCACGGACGAGUGAUUCCCAUAUGAGGAGGCAAAUGACAUGAGGUGCGACAAAAGUGUCACAAUAUCUUUACUAAUAAUUACAAUAACGAACAUUUCAGAGACUAUACUGUCUCUGUUGGAUGCAGAGCACUGUGCCCAGCCAUCACACCUUUAUUCAUUUACUUAACGCCAUAAAGAUCUUUCACCAAAUGAAUAAUGACGUGAGACCUAACCCUAAUUGUGAGCAACCACGGCACUGCCCUACAGUGCAUGCUAACAUGCAAACAGUUCAGAGAGAGAAGAACUCCAUAAGAAUGUGAGUUUCAAAAGUGGUCAACAUGCUCAGGAAUAUUUCAAAAUGAUAGGCUAAAAAGGCUCAUCUUUAAGCAAAGGAAUGUCAACAAAAGCACAUCAAAAUGUGAACGGCGUUUAUCAAGUUUUGUAGUGCUGCUAAUGGAGUUAGUAACCAUUUUUUUUAAUUAAUAAUAUUGUUAAAUAAGUAUUUUCAUAUAUAUAUAUAUAUAUAUAUAUAUAAAAUUAUGAUAUAAGCACAUGUCUCUUUUUUAAAAAAAGAAAGUAGUUUGGUGUCUGAUAAAUAAUAAUUUAAAUGUAAAAAAUCGUAAUUAUAUUUUUGAUUUGUAUGCUGUCAUGCACGUUUAUACUAGUCUUGGUAUCUUAUGUGAUGGUCUUUUAAUAAGAUUUUUCUUGAAAAGUAAGGAAUUAGGUGUAUGAAAUACAAAAUUGGUACUGCUUUAUUUUUAAGUUUUGUGUAGCUGUAGUGGGUAUGGUAUAUGUUAAUUAUAGCUAGAAAACAAUGGUGAAAUUGAAAGGAAACCAGGGUUUGUCGUUUCCAUUGGAAUAUAUCGAAUACGUGAAGAUGCUGAGCAAGAGAGUCAGCAUCCUCGUCUGUUGAGCAUUGUGCACAACCUGGCUGGCUUUACCGUAUUUACUUUUCUAUCUCAAACUAAACUUUAUCAUGAAAUUCAAUGAAACAGUAAAUUUAUUCAGAUGUCUAUCACUGUCAAAGUGAGAGAGUACUGAAGAGAAAGGGAUCGAUGUACUCAAGAAAAACAUAAGAGUUGCAAUUUAUAGAAUCGAAAUCAUAGUUAAUAGACCAAUUAGACUUCUUUUCAUAACAAAAUAACCUUAAAGCAGUUUUAAAUAAGUUCAUACAUACGUAACAAGCUAUUUCUUUAAUGUUUUUUCAUUGUGCCUAAUCUUUUCCUUAUUACAACGUUGACUUUCCAAAAUGAUGAUUUGGCUAUGCUGCUGCCUUCAGGUCAGGGUCCAAAGAACUCAGUACCCAUGACACGUUGUUGUUGUUGUAGUUGUUCUCUCUGUGAAAAUCCACCAUUCAUAUUUCUAACCAUUCCUCCAACACCCAAAAAGUCUAAGGUCAACUUAUCAGAACCUCCAAAGUUUACAUUAUUAAGAUUCUGGGGCAACUUAUGGUUGGACUCGUCGACGUUGUGAAACCCAGAAAGGUUGUUUUCAUUCCCUUGCAUGUUCCUAAACAAGGACGUGUUUCCAUUAGCAAUAGAGUUCAUCAACCCUUGAAGAUUGUGGUGGUGGUGGUGACCAUUUUCAGCUUUGGAACCAUUGCUAGACAUUCCUCUAAGUAAAGAAGAACCGCUGGUGGUUGUGGUUGAACCCAUUUGAGAGGCUUUUUGAAGCAACACAGUGGCAGACAUAUGAGGGGAUGAUACGUUUUCUAUUGAAUCACCAAAGAGCGAAGAAAAACUUGAACCCACAUGAUCACUUACUGCAGGGUUGUUAUUAACAAAGAGUGGUGGUGGUGUUGUUCCUUGGUCACUACCACUUAUGUUGUUGAAUUGAUCAGGGAUAAUGGUGCUAGUGCUAUUGCUACUUGGGAAGAAGCUGAGGUUGAAGAGAUUGGAAUUAGGAGCAGCAACUGAUGAAGAAUUGGAGUUGUUAGUGUUGCCAUCAAGAGCAGUGAGCUGCAUUAGGCCAUGUAGUUGCUUGUUUGAGAAUAGUUGUCCUUGUUGUGAUUGGUGUUCUUCAAAUAAUGUUUGAUUGGUGUUGUUAUUCAUGAAGAAAGCUGAGGAAGGCAUUGAUUGUGGUGAGUGUCCAAAUGAAGACUGAUUUAGAGGUGGAAUCAAGUGCUCAAACUUAAGAGCUGCACCAAUGUUAGUGACUGUUUGGUUCUGAUUUUGAACUUGGGAAAGUUGGGUACCCACUUGGGAUAGGGUUAAACUAGUGUGGUUUGUGCCAAACAAAUGAGUUCCCAAAGGAUUUGAGCUACUGGGGUAUCUUGCACUCUCAUGUGCUAAUGCAUCACAGAACGCCCUAUGAGUGAUGAAACUGUCACGCCUGCAUCAAAAAUAUAAUAAAAGGUAUACAUAAAUUGACCACAUCUUCCAUUAUAGAAACUGACAAAGGUGAAUUUAUUACGUCGAGUAUUAAGUAAGACUUAAAAUUAUAUUAUUAGUAUGCUCCAGUAAGAAUACAAUAUAAUAAUCAAAAUGUUCCUAAUCAGCUCAAUAACAACUAUUAUGCCACCACAUCAACACAUAAAAUUCUUGAACCAAACCAUAUAUUAAUUUUAAUAACGUAUAUAGGUAACCUAACACCGUCCAACCUAAAGAAUUUUGGAACUGUAGAAGUUCAAGAUAUAUAUAUAUAUAUAUAUAUAUAUAUCAAUUAUUUAACCAACCAAUUCCAAAGGUAUAGUCAAAUAUAAAAUAAAAAAUAAAAUAGGAAAUGUUUUUUUCUUUGUAAUUGGAACUGCAAUUUUGAAAAUAAAACUCUAAUGGAAACAGAGGGCCCAGGGGAUCAUUAUACCAAAAGAUGAUACACACAAGAAAUCCAAAUCUAACUGCCACUUUAAGGUCUCUCAUUAAUCAAUAAAAGAGAAUUAUUUUCAGCUUCUGAUGAAAGUCAAUUAUCAUAAGACCAAAGAUGGGGCCAGUUCAAUAAAUGCAAACAACCUCAAUACUUGUCUAUUUUCUACGACGAGAAUUCAUUUCAAAGCAAUGGUAGAAUACAAAAAUUGCUGAUAUAGAAGUGGCGAAUUAAUGGUGAGAAUUUGUUUAGCAAUGAAUAAAGAAAUAAUGGGAAGUGGUGACAAUUAUGCAGCUCGGACCCAUUGCAAGAAGAUAAGUGUAUUUAUAUAUGAACCGAGCCAAGCCGAAAGAGAACAAAAGCCAGCAUCUCCAACUCAUGUGAGAACAAACCCAGUAUCACUAUGCCUGUUGCCUUUGCAGAGUUGCUUAACUGCACGUGAAUGGGAAUAAGGGUGGGGGCACAGUUCCCGAGGACCAAAGUUGAACUUGCUUGUUUUUCUUCCCAAAGCAUGUCAAUUUUGGUACCCCAUUUCAACAGUCUACUCACGUGCGAGCAGUCUCCUGCCAUGCCUCCACUAACACCCAAGGAAAUGAAUGGAGAAAGCUCUAGUUCACAUUUAACUUCUGUUUCGACUAUUUACUCAAUUUUUUCAAACUAGCGACACCUUCUUAGGUUGCGUUUAGAAAUGCUUAUAAUAAAAAUGCAUCAAGCUUAAAAGCUUUUACUAGUGUGAAAAAUUCAAAACCCACCAAAGAGUAUGAGAAACCCUAAUUUUUCAUAAACUGGAUGGUGUGUGUGUAUUAUAUACACAUUUGAAGAAUGUAUAAAGUGCAGUGGAAACUAAGAUAAAAUGGGUUGUUACCUAGAGAAGAGAGUGCCACAGUCACAUCUGUACUCUCUAGUGCCACAAGUCUUUGAAUGUGCUUUCCAAUCAGAUUGAACAGCAUAUUUCUUUGAGCACUUUUCACACUUCCACUUCUUCUCACCAUGCUUGCGAGAGUAGUGCUUCUUGAUUCCAGUGAGGUCUCCCAAAGCCCUUGAAGGAUCAUGAUGGACGCAGGUGGGCUCGGGACAAAGAUAAACCUUUCUUUUUUGCUCUUUUGUACUCUUCUGCUUUAGCUUCCAAGGAAGGUUGUGUCCUCUUCUGUGAAGCUGUAGGUUUUGCUCCCUUUGAAAUCCUUUAUUGCACACCUCACAUAUAAACCUGUUUGUUGCCAUUAGGGUCUUGGGAGAUAGUUUUAUCACCUCCGCGUCUGGAUCUUUUACCCCCACAAAAAUGACAAACAACAAAUUAUUAAAAAACUCUCAUGCUUCAAUCACUUGCUCAAAUUGAAUACGCACAAGAAACAGAAGAAUAAUCUUUCUUUUUUGACCUUGUUUUAGAACCACGUAGGAAUUUCAAUAGUAAUGAUAAAAAAAAAAAUACAAAUUUACGAAGAUUAUUAAAAAAUUUAAACCAGAAGUUUCAUGCUUUUGAGAUUCUUAGAGAAAAGCAAUCCAACCAUGAACUGAAUGUCUCUACAGUAAAUUAAAGAAGUCAAUAGCCCUAAAUCACGAAUAGGGUUUCGUCGUGUUUGUUAUUGAGAAAAUGAAAGAAGUGAAACAAAAUUGCAAAGGAUGUGUAUAUGUGUGUGGUUUAAGCAAUCAAAUUUAACUAAGCUACUUGCUUGGGGUUCCAGGUUGAUUCCUCCGUUUCUUUUGAGGAACUGUGAUUGGAGCAACUGUGGAGGGUUGAUGGUGUGUUGUAAUCUGAGGGCUUUCUUCUCUGGUUCCCGAGAAUGGAGUGGAUGAGGAAGCUGCCGCCAUAACUGUUGUGCAAAUCUGGAACUAAUAUCUGAACCAAAAGUAAACACCUAUCAAAUAUCCGAAUAUCCUUCUGCUGAAAGGAAAAAAAAAACCUCAAUUGCAUGUUUUCUUGUCCCUUGGAAAGAAUAAACAAAAAGAAAGGGAAAAAGAAACUACAACAGAAUGAAGAAAAAAAAAAAGACCUGAAGUAUGUUUGAUUUUUUCCCUGCUUUCUUUGUCUGUCAGGAAAAAAGAAAAAAAAUAGAAACUGAGAGAUUAAAUCACAAAAGAUACCGAGAGGAAAGUAUCUUAGGAGACAGAAGCAAACAGGAGACGAAGAGAAGAAAACAAUUCACUCUGAAUACCUACUUAUCUUCUGGCUAUUGUUUUCUUAUCAUAAAAUUUAGCUACUACUACUCCCUCUUGUUAUUUCUCAAUCAUUUGGUGUCAUCUAGACAGAAGAAUAAUAAUAAUAGUUAAUAACAUGCUAGCUUGUCCUCCAAAAGGCAUAUAUAAAUCAACUCAUAUGUAUCUCUUUUGAUCUCUGUGUCUCUUCUUUUCCCCUCUUCUCCUCAUGGUUGUGCAUUUUGUAAGGAGGAAUAAUUAAGGGUGGUAAAGUUGCCAGCGAAGUGAGGGAGGUAAUUUAUGUCACUGUUAUACUGCUCCUGCACGGGCUACUGUGUCCUUAGCAGAUGAUGGUCUGGGGCCACCGACCCUUUUAGCUCUCACACUCACCUUAUCUCUCCUUCUCUUCUUUCCUAUCUUUUUACCAACAACCAUACAACUUUCCUCAUUUUUUACCCAACAACUAAUUGGUUUAUGCAUUAUUAUAACUAUUGUUAAUUAUUACCAUGUCUACAAUACUUUCUUUAGCAUGGUUUUUAUCAGAUACAACUUUCCACUGUUAUUCGAUUAUAUAUGGUUACUAUAAACUGACAUAAAAGUUCUAGGAUUAGUUGGUAAAAAAUAUUUUCAAUCAAAAUCUUGUGGUAAUUUACGGACAAAGUACUUCGAACUCUUACACCUAAUCGUGAUAACUCAGUAGACAGAGAGCUUGCUGGUAGAUGAUGACAAUAUUUGGGUUUAUCUCCUAUUUUAUAAUAAUUGUAAUGGUAGUUUGAACUGUUUGCUUGAAGAUAUUUGCUUGGAAAAAUGUUAUCAGUUUGUAACCACCUUGGUAAACAGGGAUAAACAGGGAUUUUUGAAAUGAUGUUUGCAUUGACAAUGCUAGUUUGAAACAUUCUUUACCAUGCUUGUACCAAGUCUAUGUUGAAAUAGCUGCUUCGCGUGUAGAUGAAAGGGGAGUAUGGUAUGAUAAGAUUUGGUUCUGGAGAUCAAUUUGUCGGUCAAAAUCUAAUGCUAUAUCAGAAAAGCCAAGGCAAAUUUGUACGUAACACCGAAGUGAAAGCUACAAAGAUCAAACCAAAAUAUUUGCAUCUCUGCACUUAUUGGAAGAUGCUAAAGUUGCGUCCACAAAAAAAAUCUACGAACCCUUUGAAGCUCAAUUUUAUAAAAUGUGGUCGACACUACCUCUACAAUAUCACAAGGACGAGAAAGUUAGGAGGGUUGAGGGGAAAGUAUAAAAUUUUGAGUUCAUUUAAUAAAUAUAUAACAUUACUUUUUAUGUUAAAUAUUCAUAAUUGUGUGUUUUUUUAAAUGAUAAAAAAUAAUAUAAAAAAUAGGAUUGUAUGAUAAUUAUUAUCUAUAGAGUAAUUUAAAUAUAAUUAUUUUAGAUCUCUUUUUUAAUUUUAGUUGUGUUAAUUUAAUUUACUUUUGAAUAAAAUUGUUCUUUAUGUUUAAAUUUAGUUUUAAUUUCAUGUUAUAUACUUUAUCUUUGUUUUUUUUAGUUCUGAAGGAUAAAAGUUGUAAGAAGACGUUAUCGUGAACAUUAAAAUAGAGAAAAUGAAGUUUCCUAUUUAGAUUUACGCGAUAAAAAUUUACAAGAAGAAUUUGUAUAUAUGCACUUUAAGCCACCCAUUUUGUAGGCAUUUUAAGCCAAACUUGAGAGGAAAGUAGUGCUUAAAUAGUUUAUUUUGGACAGCCUAAGAAGUUCCAUCUGAAGUCCACUAUGGCAGAGGUUGAGUGUCUAUAAAAGACAAAAAAAAAAAUAGAACCUUAUUUUCAUACAAUUAUACACUUUGAGACAUACUUGGAGACACGGAAAAAUUCUUCUCCUUUUGAAGGAUUAUUUCUCUAUAAUUGAUAAGAAGUAGCUAAGUUUUCUUUCUUUCGUAGAAGCUUAAUACACUUGAAUCUACAUGUAAUUGUUAUGUUUUUUUUUUUAUUUAUGUAGUAGCUAUUAUUUUUUUUAAUGUUCAGUUAUAACUGAUAAAUUGGAGUAAUGGUAUGAUUUUAUAAUUUUUAUUAUAAUUCAAAAUAAGUCAAAGAUUGGUAGUAGAAUCAAUUAUAUAAUCAUUAAAUAAAAACUAAUUUUAUAGUAAAAAAAUAAUUAGUUACUAUAUUGACUAUAUUAAAUAUUAUUUUAGAUAUUAAAAAAAUUAUUAGUAUCUAAAAUAAUUUCUAUUAUUAAUAAAAUUUAAAACUAGUUUCAAAUUGAUAUAUUUUCCGACCUCAAGUCUAUUAAGAUAAUAUCACUAGGAUCAAUCACCACAUCUGAGAUAUUUGGAGCUCGAAGUUCCAUUACAUUUUUUUUUUCUUAAAAGGCCUCUAAGAAGUUUAAAGCACUAGUGCAAAUAAUGCUUUUUACAACAACAUAUUUGGUUGGUUAAGAAAGAACCGGUGUAAAGAAAAAUACGGUGACAUUUUUGUAAAUAUUGUGCAUAUAUUACAUUGGUUGUUACUCCUAAUCGGUGUAAUAUGUGUUGAUUUUGAGUAAUUUUUUUUAAAAAAAUUACAUUUUUACAGUGAUAUAUUAAAUCGGUUGUUAGGUCCAAGCGGUUAAUAUGUAUUGAUUUUGAGUGUAAAAAAAUUAUUUAAAAAUUACAUUUUUCUAGUGACGUAUUACAUUGGUUGUGAGGUCCAACCGAUGUAAUAUGUAUUGAUUUCGAGUGUAAAAAAAUGUUUAAAAAACUACAUUUUUUGGGAUGAUAUAUUACAUCGGUUGGGAGAUCCAAUCGAUGUAAUAUGUAUUGAUUUGUCUUUUAAAUGUAUAAAUUUUAAAAGGUAAGUGAUGUUAGGGGCAUUUAUUACAUCGAUUAUUACUAAGAAUUGAUGUAAUAUAUGCAUUCACCUUGUUUUUUUUUUUUCUUGUGCACUCACUGCUCAUUUUGCAUUUGAAGUUUGUUUGCUGAGUGUAAGACGUCUGAGCCACUGCCACCAUUGCCUUUGUUACCACUAUUUUUGUUGCCAUCGCUCACGCUCCCUUUGUUGUCACUACCAUCGCUUCUCGUUGUCGCCACUGUUUGUUGUGCCCUUGUUCACUGCCACCGAGAGUUGUGUUUCAUUGUCGCCAUUGUUCGCGCUAAUGUCGUCAUUCGCUGCUACCAUCAUUCAUCUAGCCACCAUUGAAAACUUCUGGUCCUGCCACGUUAAGGUAAGUUUUAAAUAUUUUUAUUAUAAUUUAUUAUUUUAUUUAGAAAUAAAAUUUUAAUUUAUAUAGAAAAUUAGUUUUAAUAUAAUAUAUUAUGUUUGGAAUAUAAUGUAUAUUUUUUUAAAAAAAAUUAAUUUGUUGUUGUUAAUUGUUAUAUGUUGAACGCUUUGAUAUUAGGUUUGGCGGUGUUCGACCCUCGACAAUGUGUACUGUGUUUUAUAAUACAUCGACUAAAAAGUGGGAGAGAUUGAUGGAUAAACCAAGUGCUUUUAUUACAUAGUAAUGGAUUGAAGUUGGAUAAGUGAUUCUACACUUUUCUCAAUGAAAUGUAGAAGCUAUAAAUGGAAGAUAUUAUUAUCCAUGUGUUAAUUGUUUGAAUGGGAGACUAUAAGAAAUUAAGUUGAUACGAGAACAUGUUGUGAUGGUUUCUUGAAGAGUUAUAUAACGUGGAUAUGACAUAGUGAAUUUGUAGACAUAACACCUCUAUUUAAAUUUCAAUAUUCUAAUAUACACUUUGAAGAUUGCAUGGAGGACAUGAUUCAUGAUAUUUGAGAAGAUAGUUUCCGACAAGCACAUAUGUGUGAUUCAUUGAAAGAUGAUUCAAAACCAUCUCUAUAUCUUGGUUGUUCAAGUUUCACAUGUUUGUCUUAUUAAAAUUAAUUAAUAUUAAGGCAAAAAAUAGGAAGAUCGAUAAAAGCUUCACUAAAUUAUUGGAGUUGUUGCAUGAAAUGCUUCCAAAAGGUAAUACAUUGUCGACCCUUCAUAUGAGGUGAAGAAGAUAUUGGGUCUGAUGGGUACGGAGUACUAGAAAAUACAUGCAUGUCCUAAUGAUUGUAUUUUGUAUAGAAAAAAAGGUUUGAAUCAUUGUAUAGGUGUCCAAGAUGCAGGAUAUCAUGAUACAAAGUGAAAAAUGAUGACAGUGAGGAAGAUGAUGUGAAAAAGGGUCCUCCUAAGAAAGUAUUAUGAUAUCUUCCAAUCAUACCGCGAUUUAAACGUUUGUUUCCCAAUAUUAAUGAUGCAAAAAAUGUCACAUGGCAUGCAAAUGGAAAAAAAAUGUUAGGUUGUUACGACAUGUUGUCGAUUCACCACAAUGUUAAUAAAAUCAAGAGUAGAAUGGAAAUAUGUAAAAUGAGAUUUUUGUUGUUGGCGGGUAGAGUAUGCUUACUAAAGUCUAUCAUUUCCUCUUGACCCCAAUACUACAUAUCUUUUUAUAAAAUUCCAGCUAUUAUAAGACAUCAAAUUAGAACUAUCCAGAGGAAUUUUUUAUAGAGGAGGUGAAACAAAGGAAGAAAUAUAUCAUGGUUAAAAUGGGUGGACAUAUGUAAACCAAAGGAAGAGGGAGGCUUGGAACUUAAAGAUGUCAAAUUGUUUAAUGUAACAUUGUUGUCUAAGUGAAAAUGGAGGUUAGGGUAACCACAAAGGACUGUGGAAGAAUAUUUUAGAAUUUAAGUAUGGCUUUUGAGGAACUUGAAUGUUAAUGGAAACGUCACUUACGAGUUAUGGCGGUGGAGGGACCUAAGAGGGGUUUGUGGGAAGGCAUAAAAGGGGAAUGGUUUGUGAUAAAUGCUAGAUUUCAGUAAUACUUUAUAUUAAAAUACAUGCACUUGUGGAUAUUAAUUGAUAAAAUAACCACAAUAUAACCCCUAAUUCAUGAACUAAAACCUUUUUACAUAUUUUCUAAUUAUAAUUUGAAUAAGAACGAUUUAUUCCCAAAUUUGUGUUAAUUUCAGGAUUUUAGGAAAGAAUGAAGAUGAAAGGGUAAAAGGAUAAUAUACAAAGCUAAAAAGGGAAAGUUGGAAUGCACCAACACUUACCCUAGAGGAGACAGCUGUCAAGGAGAAACAUCCUGAAUCUUCUUUUCAUGCUUUCCAUGCUUGUAAUAGCCAACAUGAGUGGCUAAUUCUACCAUUUGGGAAUGAGAGUAAUCUGUUCAAACUCUUAUGUAUUGAGGUGAUAUUUAAAUAUAAUAUUUUUUCUUGAUUGAUGAUUGCUAUUGUCAUUUUAUUUGUAAUGCUUGUUUACCAUUAUCAAGAUCCUUAGAUUUAACUGGAAAGUACUUCUAAGUUUCUAACCUAAAUGAUAAUGUUAGGAAUAGAUUUGAAAUGUUAAUUGCUAUCAACAUCUAAUCGUAAUGAUAAGAAGUUUUUAUAAAUAUGCGAGAAAUCAAUAUUUAGGAGACUUUCUUAAUAAUUUUAUGUGAGUAAUCGAUAUAAAUUACUUUUAUAUGGACAUCAACAUCAAUCAAAAGAUAAAAUAUUACUAUGCUAAUCAAAAUACAAAAGAGUAAGAAAGACGAACCUCAAUCCCAAUAUUCCCAAUUGAACUAACAAUCUCUUUGACUUCUUUCUUUUUAAUUAUUGCAAUCACAACAAACUCCCAAAAAACUUUAUUAUUUUGUUUUCUAUUUAGUGAAUCUUAUACUUGAUUAUUCAAUGUUCCUUGUGGGUUUGAUAUCCUUCCUUAAGGAUCCUCAUGAUAUCCUUCCUUAAGGAUCCUCAUGAUAUCCUUCCUUAAGGAUCCUCAUGAUAUUCUUCCUUAGCAAUUACAACAUGGUGUACUUUUCGUAAAAUAGUCAUGAAGUUUUUGGCACCAUUAUUGGAAAACAAUUGAUUUUUUAGUAUAAAUUCCUAAAUAUUAUGAAUAUUUUAAUUGCUUUUAACUUUUGUUUUAUUUCAUUUUAAUUGCAGAUUUGUGUUAUUUUAUUUCAGAUUUAUUUUAUUUUACUUUAUUUGUUUUCAAUUUUAAAUUUUUUUAAAAAAAUUACUGUUAGUGAAUCCUUGUGUUAACCCUUGAUUUAGUUGUCUUAUAUGAUAUUAAAAGGUCAAAUUCCCAAAGACCAAAUAUUAUUUGAAUCAAAGAUUGAAAAGGCAGCUAAAAGAAACAAAAAGACAAAGACAAAAGAAAGACAAGGAGACGCUAGAGAGGAAUCCUCAACCACUUCUUCCCUUCCCAUUAAUAUUUUUCAGGAGGAGAAUAAUAUGGCAUAAGAGCAGACACCACCUCCUAGGAGAACCCUUGGAGAUUAUGCCAUGGAGCAAGGGCCAAGGCAUUUUUCUAGUAUUGCAAUACCUGCUACCUCUAGGGUCUUGGAGAUGAAACCCGUUUUCCUUAGUCUUAUCAGUACCCAUCCGUUUACAACAAUGGAUCAUGAGGAUCCAUAUACACAUUUGUCUACAUUUUAUGAACUGGUGGGAAAAAUGGGCUUCCAAUCAGGUGAUCUAGAAAAUGUUUAUAUGCGUUUAUUUUCUUUUUCAUUAGCAGAAAAGGCAAAAUAAUGGCUCAAAUCACAUCCAAAUCAAAGUCUCAAUAGUUGGGAGGAUGUAGAGGAAAAAUUUCUACAAAUGUUUUUUCCAUUAUCUUGCUACAUCAAAGCAAAGUCUGAAAUAUCUAUGUUCAGACAAGGAGCAGAUAAAGCAUUUUGUGAGACAUGGGAAAGAUUUAAAAUGACGCUGAGAAAAUGUCCAAAUAAUGGGUUUGAAGACAUUGCUCAAUUGAGCAUUUUUCACAAUGGUCUCAUAUAUGAUAACAAGAUGCUUCUAAAUGUUGUAGUUGGUGGUACAAUGAUGGCAAUUGAUGCAAAAGAAGCAACAAAGAUUAUUGAGGCAAUGACAUCCACAAAUUAUCAAGCCCAAAAUGAUAGUAAAAAUGAGCCAAAGAAGGGGAUGAUGGAUCAUAAUUCUUCAAACACAUUUUUGGCUGAAAACUAAAUUCAAACACAAUAGUUGGAAGCAUUAACUGCACAAAUGGCUAAAUUGCCACAACAAUUACAAGUUGUGCAAGCUUAUUAGAGUCAGAGUCAAUCAAUAAAGUGUGAUUUUUGUAGAGGUGAUCAUUCCAAUGGGCAUUGUACUUAUCAGAAUAAUUCAUCUGAAGAAGAAGCUCAUUAUAUGGAAAUAAAGGAGGUAAGGUGGGUUCUCCAACAAAAAUACUCAAGGUUGGAGAAGCAAGCAAAAUCAAAGUUUUAAGCAACAACAACAACCAUUAUAUCCUUCAUCCCAAGAGAGAGAAAAGCAAACUGGAGGAUACCUUGGAGAAACUGCCCAAUAAAGGAGCUUUGACAUUGUUGUUCAAAGUUUGAAGACACAAAUGGGACAAAUUGCACAACAGUUGAAGAAAUCCAAGGAGCAAUGUAAGUCAGUCACUACUAGAAGUGGAAUAGUUAUAGGAAAGGGGAUUGGUGAUAAUUUGAUUGUUGAAAUAAAGGAAAUAAUGGAAUUAGUGGCUCGUUUUUAUGUUGGAUGUUCAAACUUGUUGUAGGAUCACACCUCUCAAGUUGUUUUGCUAAGGGGAUAAAGGGAUUUUUAGGGCUAAAUAUGUUUACAGAGAGAGGAUCUCUUGGUUCAAUAUUGUAAAGAAUUCCCGCUACAUCAAAUAUUGGAGACAAGAUUUGUUGAUCCAUUGUAAGGAAUUUUUGUUACCUCAAACUUUGGAGACAACAUUUGGGUUGAUUGAUUAUUUGUAUAAAUAUAUAAGGACAAACUAGCUAACAUAAGGAAUAGUCAUAUGUUAUUUAUUUGUAUAUAAGGUUGAAGCAUUCCUAUGUACUCAUUCUUUGUAUAUAGAUUUUCUUUAUUGAUAAAAAAGUACUGAAUUGUACUUAUUCUUUUUAAAAUACCACUAGCAUACUAUAAAAUAAAAUUUUUUUAAAAGUAAAUGAUACUUAAAUAUUUCAUCUAAUAGAAAAAACUAUUAUUAUCUCUAAAAAAAGACUUUAAAAAAAAUAUCCAUAGCUAAUUUCUUUUAUAAAAUUUAUAAGAAAUAACUUCUCCAAAUAUUUUGUUUUUAAAUUUUGUAAAGUUUCACAAAAUAUUUAUAGAACAAGUUGCACAACAUAUAAAAAUAAUAAUAAAUUUAUAAAAAAACAACAUUUAAGUAUUUUAUCUUUAUAUAUAAAUAUCAAAUAAAAAUAAUUACUUAUAAUGUAUAUUAAUUCAUUAGAAAAAAAGUAAACCCCCAUAUUAGCAUAUACAUCUAUUCUAACAUUAUCAUAACACCUUCACUACAUGAAAAAAUGGUUUUAACGGGAGUUUAUUUUUACAUUAUUAAAGGUUAAAACCUCUCUUAAGUCAUUUACUCAGGGCAGUUUCUCCUGCUAAAUCAUCUUUGAGAAAUGUGUUUCCUGGGGUUUUUUUAAACAUUUGGAAAAAUCUUUCAAAAUCCCCGUUAAAUAUCAUGGGCUUAAGAACCUCCGUAAAAUUUCAUAACCUCCGUAAAAUACUAUGCGUUUUAGGACCUCCGUAAAAUACCACGAGUUUCAAAACCUCUGUAAAAUAUCAUAGGUUUUAGAACCGCUGCAAAAUACCAUAGUUUUCAAAACCUCCAUAAAUUUUAGAACCUCUGUAAAAUAACAUAGGCUUCAGAAUCUCCGUAAAAUAUCAUUUGUUUUAAAAUCUCUGUAAAAUAUCAUAGGUUUCAGAAUCUUCAUAAAAUACCAUAGGUUUCAGAACUCCGUAAAAUACCAUAGACUUCAGAACCUUCGUAAAAUACCAUAGGUUUCAGAACCUUCGUAAAAUAUCAUAUUUAGAUGUUGUUCUCUAAUUAAAUUAAAAAUUUAUUUUUAAAAAAAUAUAUUUAAAAAAAUGCAAAUUAAAAAAAAUAAAAAAUGUAAAAAAGAACUAAAUGAAAAAAAAAAUACUUCUUAAAAUGAAAGAUAAGUGAAAGAGGAGCAAGUCCAAUAUAGAAAGAUUCAAGCCUAGAAAGCGGGUAGGGAUAGAAAUGAUAUGGAAAUAGGUGAUGUUUACAAGGAAAAAGAAGAAGCAAAAAGCACCUAUGAUUGAAUCAAAUUUUCAAAUCUUCAAUGUUUAUCAUGCAUUGCAGCAGUAACUCACCUCCCAUCCUGGUUGAGGGCUAAGAAUUGGUGUUGCCAUGAAACUUGCCUUACCCUUUAUAUAAGUUUCUCUCCAUAUUAGCAAAAAGAUUAUAAAAGAAAGAAAAACAAGCAAUCAGAAUUGACAUGCCAAUAUGUUUCUUAAAUAGCAAAAGAUAUAAACUUUUUCAUCCAAACCUGACUUUUAAGAAAAACUAGUGCAACUGUAUUCCUUAAAAAAAAAUAUGAAAAUGGAUAAAUAGAUUUUGAAUAGACAACUGUACCUAAAUGAUUAUUUUAUUUUUUAUGAAAAAAAUUGUCACUACAUCUUUGAUGGUUUCGAAGUCCUAGUUUGUUAAACGAUUUCAGUUUUUAGGACUUUACUUUUUUUUAAGUAAAGUUUCCAUGUAAGUGAGUUUUCUUUUAUGAUUUAUUAAUUUAGGUUUUUCAAUUUAAAUUUUAUAAUAAUAAAGUUGUGUCUUGUUAUAUUUUAAAAAAUAAUAUUUAAGUGCUUAUAUUUUAAAGAUAUAGUUAAGUUUGUUUUAGAUGAUAUAGUCUUUCAAUAAAAAAAUUUCAAUUAGGUAAAAUUGGGUUUCAUUCAUUGAAAAAUGAAAUAAAAGUUGAAAUUAAUUAUGAUAAAUUUGUAGAAAUUUUUAUUUAAUAUAGACAAACUAAUUUUUAAAACGAAAGGAUAUAUUGUUCUAAGAAUCCAUUUUCUAGUUUGUCUUGUGAACUUUUUUUGUAGUUCUUAUAUUUGAUAGUUUCCUGAAAGGCUGAAGCAAAUGUUGAAAUCUCUCUUUCCCUAUUAUCACCAUAUCCAUAAUAGUAAUUGGCAUUGUAUGUAUGCAUGACUCAACAUUUAUCUAUUGGGGGAAGAUAUCACACAUGAUGAUGAUGGGUAUAUGUGAAUUGACAUUGGAAUGAAAAUGAAAGAUGAAGGGUCACCUGUGUGGACCAUGUUGUGUGUGGCUUUGGUUUGGAUAGAAGCUUAAAAUUGAGACACAUGAUGUGGGGUAAGUACCUAGAUAAGGACCAUAUGUCUUAAGAGAGAAAAUAGAUGAACAAUUAUAAAUCUUUUGGGAAUUUGGCUUUACCUACAUUUCAAGUACUUUGUUUCCAUUACUUGGACUCAAAGUUAUUCUUUCACGCUCUUUAGUAAAUAAGGUACACUUAAGUGGAACAAAUUAAUAGAAAAUGAUAUGUUAAAAAAUAAACUUUAAUGCAUGUAUAGUAUAAAAUAUUCUUAUAUUUAGUCAAUGUGGGAUAUUCAACAUUUUACAUAACAACCUGAUAGUGAGUGACCUGAUAAGUCCAACAAACUCUUACUAGGAUGACUUUAAUACCAAAUUAAAAGUAACUUUAAGUCUAACUUAACUUUACAAAACUGGUUAAUAAGUAAGCAUUCAAUUAUAUAUUAUAAAAUUCUAUUAUCUCUAGUCAAUUUCAUAUCUCCAUCAAAUAUUCAAUUCAAAGACUAUAUAUGAAUUGUUUGCAUCAACUUAGGUUUCUCUAGUAAAUUGCCAAGUUUUGUUCCCGAGAAAGCUGGCCAACAACGUUGGUUUGGUCGGUUUAAACCUUAAACCUUUUCGGGGUAAGGUUCUUGCCUCCUUGGUAUGAAGGGAUAUUUAGCUUGCCUCUUCGGUGGAUUUGAGGUCAGAGGAUAUUAGUCAUUUCAUCUCCGAAAGUGCUGUUAGAAAUUGUAAUAUGAUGUUUUGGAUGAAAAAUGAUGUGUCUGAAGCUCGAAAAUUUAGAAUUGUGGGAAGGAGAUGGGAUUUUUGUUUAAUGGUGAGGAGGAUGUAGUUUUUUGUUCUUUACAAGCCUUGGAAGCUCUGGAUUCUAACAGAAGGAAGAAGGCCAACGUUUUUGAUGAUGAAAAUAAUUAGUCUGAAUAUUAGGGGGCUAGGAGGAAGCGUUAAAAGAAGAUAUCUAAGAGAGUUAAUAAGCUUGGAACAAGUAGGCGUGGUUUGUCUACAAGAAACAACGUCUUUUGAGUUUGGUGAGGGGAAUUGUUUUCUAUUGUGGGGCUCUAACGACAUCGGUUAGGUUGAGAAUGGAGCGAGUAGUAACGCUGGUGGGAUUAUUACAAUAUGGAGAAAUAGUUGUUUUCAUUUGUUGAGGUACUCUAACGGGAACAAUUUUCUGUUAUUGAAGGGGUCUGGAAGGUUGGUGGUGGUGUACAGGUUACAAUUGUGAAUGUCUAUUGCUUGGGGUCGUUGAGGGAUAAGAAGAUAAUUUGGGAUGAGAUUUGUGAAGUAAGGACAAAUCAUUCGAAUAGGGUUUGGUGUGU
RNAcentral lists this long non-coding RNA (55897 nucleotides) under Phaseolus vulgaris (common bean). RNAcentral describes it as "long non-coding RNA (PVUL_LNC002081)". Lineage: Eukaryota; Viridiplantae; Streptophyta; Magnoliopsida; Fabales; Fabaceae. The record is from RNAcentral.